AAUAAAGUGGUGACAUUAAUCCUCAAAAACGACAAGAUAGCCUUCCUUAUCUAAUUCAUGGAAUGGAAUGGGAGGAUAUUCUUUCCUUGGCUGCCCAAUUAUUCGCACAAAAUAAGCUAUCCUGCCAUCUGGUACAUGGGUUCAGUUUCUUUGCCUCGCCGGUCGAUGUACCCUAGCUUCCAUCUCGAAGUUCCAAAGUCUGGUUCGUGUCACGUGAACUAGAAGGCAGUCGGCAGUAUGCUUAGGUUGGAUCUUGUGGCCACGGCUAGGUGUGGAAAAUGGAUGGCAAAUGGAGCUGUGCUAGCCUAGCUAGUUUACGUGUCCAAACGAGGCGCCGGCACAACUACGAAGAAACAAGCUACUAGUACUUGUGGAGUGGUAGAGUUAGCUAGUCAUGUCAUUAAGUUGGUAAAAAUGGACGCCUAACUUGUCAUAUCUCGAAUUUUUUCAUGGCGUAUGUACUUAGCGACAAAACGAUAGGGAAAGAGUUAAAAUCUUGACGAGAUCAAUAUCACUGACGGGUAAGAAGUGUAGUUAGCUCACGCUUCAUCUGUGUAUCUUGUAAGAAGAACGUUAAUGACGCUAAUCAUGCAGGAUAAACAAAUGCUAAAGAUGGCCCUUUUCACGAUGAGAACAAAACAAUGACUUUUGGAUGGAAAGCAACGUGACACAGCCUUUAGGGGCACAGUUGUUUAAUCCCACGAAGCAACGUUGAAGAAGCACCGGUGGUUUAUCCACGCAUGCAUAGCUAGUCCACGCAAAGAGAGCUUGGAGCUGAAGGUAGGCGCAUGCUACCUACUCGGCGUGUGAUGCAGAGACACUCACAAACACACAACACGCACAAGUUAAUCACGGUCACGAAAGAGAAAAGAUAGAAUCUGUCGUGGAAUUUUCAUGACAGAUGUCCUAGUAAAAGGACUUAGUCGUGGAGCCAUCGCAACUAGGAAUCUUGAAGGGGUUAAUCGGGACAAAGGACACGAGGUUUAUACUGGUCCGGCCCCUUACAAUGAAGGUAAAAGCCUAUGAUCCAGUUUUGAGUGGGAUUGCUUAUGUCUCGAUAACCAGGGAGCAAAUCGCUUGACCUAGCUCAUGAGUUGAUGUUACUUGUCUUGAACCGCCGCCGGCUCAUCCCUUUAUAUACAUAGGUCGACGCCCAGCAGCUCUGCAGAGUCCUGGCCGGCUCAUAAACAGUGUCCGGCUCGGUCUCUUAACUAUUCUUGCCUUACAAUACAAGUCACGCAUACAGGGCGGUUUAUCACUACGGGCCUUAAGUCGCCUCUGGGCCUUGGGCCCUUAAGUAAACGGCCAUUUAUAUCCUGGGUCUUGUGCUUCAAGAAUAUUUGGAAGUAUGACCCGGCCCCUCCUGGGCGGGUCAUACCAAUAGUUAUAUCCCCAACAUUAGGCCCCAGAUUGAUUUGAACUGGUUUCAUGUCAAUCAUCGACACUUAAGGAAAAAGAUCUUCUGGCUUUAUGAAAUUUUUGUAACCCGCCAUGACAUCGUUUUCUGGAUUUGCGGUAACCUGCCAGGAUGUCACCUGUCAUAAAAGUGUGUUUUAUUCAAUGCAUCCCAAUGGAUCUUUGUCUUGAUGACCAUCCCGAAAAUCGAGGCGUCCUUGUUGUUGGAUAACUCAUGUUUUCGACCUCCUCGUUUUUCAUGCUCUUUAGUGGCCCUUCCUUAUAAAUUGACCCGACUAGGUCUUCCUCAUUUCCUCCGUUCGCGUCUUCUUCCUCUCGCCCCCAUCUGCUACCGGAGCUCCGCCGCCGUCAUCGCAACGCAUCUCGUAUCCGUCGUCUUGGCCGCUGCAUCAACCUGAUCUUGACCAGAAAACAGCGGAGCCCUUCCACAGCAAACCUUUUGCAGUAAGUUAUCUUCUUUCCGCACCAUAGACCCGUGCUAGGGCUAGUGUGUUCUUCUGUAUUGCGCGAAGUUCAGCUGAGUUCUUGUAUUCCAUCUACUAUGGCUUCUUUUAAUCCAAAAACCCCAUAGAUCUUAUGCGGUACGUGUUCCGCAUCCAUUUUGGGCACCAGUAGAUCUCCUUUCCAUGUAAGAAAACCCCAUUAUAGCGCAUGAACUCCUCUGUGCCCUGUUUUAGGUCUAGAAAAUUUUCCUUUUCUGAACAUCUGUUUGAUCCAAAAUAACAGCUGCAAAUUGUGAAAUCUGUUUGUACAACACUUAGGCAAAAUCUGCACUUGUUAGAUUUAUCUAGUCAUGGCGACUCUGACGCCGGCUUUAAGGAAGCAAUGCUUAAUUAAUAACUUAAACCAUCCUUAGUGGUUUAACUAGUCUUGACGGCUUACAGAGCCUAUGGUGGUUGAAACAACCAUGACAUACUUAUCCUUAUACCAUUAGGCCCCUUUGUAAGCCGCCAUCUUGAAUAUGCACAAUAAUAUAUUUUUUCUGCCUGGCUUACAUUUGAACCGACACUUUUACUUUGUCUUAGGCUUUCAAUCAGAAUGGCACCAAAGGCACCUACCUGCUACAACUGGGUUAAAUCCAUUGUCACUGACAGCACCUUGGAUAACUUUGUGAAGACCGGCUAUCUGCCAAAGAAAGAAGUCAUGCCUUAUCGUGCUCCUAACCCGGAGGAAGAAUUUCCUCAACCCAAAGACGGAGAGGUUGUUGUUUUCAUAGAUCAUAUGAAUCGGGGAUUUACCCCUCCUGGCUCAAAAUUCUUCAGAGACGUGCUGGAUUUCUUUGAUCUUCACCCACAAGACAUCGGACCCAAUUCCGUGUCUAAUAUCUGCAAUUUCCAAGUAUUCAGCGAAGUAUACCUUCGACAAGAACCCAAUUUGCUGCUAUUUAGAGAAUUGUUUUAUUUGAACUGCCAGAAUGAGUGUGCUAGCGGUCAGAGCUUAGAGCUAGGCGGUGUCUCAAUCCAGCGCCGUAGAGAUGUGAUCUUACCUUACGCCAACCCGCCGAGCCACCCCAAAGACUGGAAUAUGACAUGGUUUUACUGCAAAGAUACCUCGCCGGCUGAUGAAAACCCUCUGCCCGGCUUUCGUGCCCUUCGUCUUGGGCCCAACCAUCAUUUGCCUGACAAGAUUACAGCCACGGAACAUAAAUCACUUGCCCCCACUUUGGCCAAGAUCAAGGCUCUUCUGGGGAACGGGUUGACAGGCAUUGACCUGGUCCGGGUUUAGCUCGCCCGGCGGGUUAUUCCGUUGAGCCGCCGCACCGGCUUGACGUCCGAGUACAUUGGUGCAAAGAAUGAUCCUCCGCGUCACGGCCGUGACGACUUACCUGACGAUGUCGUUGACGAUAUGACCAAGUCUCUUCUGAACGAAAGCCUGGCGGAUUGCGGCAAAGUGGGCUUAGCCCCCUUCUGCAAAGCUAAACCGACUCCAAAGGUAAACCGCCCAUGUGAAAUAAUUUAUUUAAUUUUUAAUGUUUCACCCAUACUCAUGCAUAUGCUAAUCUUUGUAGGCGGGUGAUAAAUUCUGGAAGGUCAAAUAUGACCAUGAAGCUGCCAACAAAGCUAGAAAAGAGAAGAGAGCCACCAGGAAAGAAGCUGCCAAAAGGAAGGGCAAGAAGGCCACCGCUUCUGACCUGCUUCGGCUAGUGGACUCUUCUGAGUUGGAGGUAGCCCUUGAUUCCCUUGGCUCAUUUUUUAACCAUCUUAUUGACACUGAUUAUCAGCAGGAGGACACAGGAGCAAGCCGUAACAAGGCUGAUGAGGUAACUAUCCUUUCCUCUAACUCCGAGCCUUUGCCAAGACGCAAAAUCCACAGAGUGACCCAGAAAGUAAGGUUUUCUCAUCCUUUAGCUCAUCACGAUCCUCAAUUUCUUUUGAAGCGGCAAAUUCACGAGAGCCGGAGGCAGACCCAUACCAGCAAGGACGCGGAGCUCUCCUCCGGCUUACCAAACACUCCAAGGAAGCGCCGGAAUGAGGUCACUCCUGUUUUAAAUAGAUUUUAUCCCUUAGCGGGUCUCUUUCGUCAACCACUCAAUUCUUCUGAUUCGGAUUACCAGGACACUUCCCCUUCCUCCGGGACUCACUAUAGGCCAACCUGCCGGCUUUCAAGACUGCACCAGGGUAUGAUGAUCCGCUCAUCUUUUAUUUAUUUUAAUCCCUUGCAUCUGUACUAACCUUUAUUUUGACGCAGUGGUCAAGCCAAACCCAGCAAACGGGUUAGGAAAAACAAACCAGCUGAAGAUACAGUUGCGACUGAGCCGGUUCUUGAAGCAGCCGUGCCGGACUCGACCACUCAUUAGCCGCCAUCUGAGCCCGCUCAAGACCUACCAACUCCUGCUACUGACCUGCCCACUGAUCGAGCCACCGACGAAUCAGAGAAUCCAAAGGCCCCUAGCCCGGUCAGGACUGAUGACCCUCAAAAUGCUGAUGUUGAGAUCACCAGAACCGGCUAUGUUGAGCUGGGAAGGCCGACUGUACUGGCCACGUGCCCCGCCAAGGAAGAACUUCUGGACCACCACCGGGUCAAGAUGGAUGUUGCCAACUAUGCUCAUAUGAGUAUUGGAGACAUGUUUUCAGGUUAGAUGAGCCAAGUGCACAACAGCCGGAACCUCGAGAUUGAUAUGGUGAAGAAGAUGCACCAAAAAUUCGAGGUAUAACCCGUUCUCUUUCAUUCAUUCAUCUUUACUAUGCUAGUCCCCAAGUCUACUGCUUAUAACGUUUAUGCUGUAGACUUUUAGAAACAAUCUUAAUGAUAUUAGUAACAUAGAUGAAUAAAACAUAUAAGAACUCCGACUUACUCUGUAGUCCCCAAGGGGCGGCUUAACCAGUAUGGUUGAGCCAGUCCUUAUAUAUAAAAAAUACUUACCAGUCUUUGAACAACAAUAUGCAUUAGCCCCCAAGUGCCAAGUAUUAUUGAUUGCAAAAUGCUUGGGACUUACUCUUAUGAAUCUCCAUCUUAUGAACCGCCAUUGAAAAUAAAACUCUUUGGUAACAUUAGCCCCCAAGUGCCAAGUGUUGUUGCUGGCAAAAUGUUUGGGACUUUAAUAUUACAUAAAAAAUUGGCUUGAUUUUGACUCUGUAUUUGUAUAGGCCGAGCCAACUCGAAUCCGAGGUGACUGAUCUGAAGAGCCGCCUUGAGACCCAAGAGACGAAAAUAGAAAAGGCCGACACUAAGUUCAAAUUCAGCGUUUCUGAACAAGAAAAACUGAAGAAAGAAUUUGAAGCUGAAUGGAAAGUCUGGGCUGAUGAAAAGACUGCACUGAUUAACCAAGCUGAAAAAGCAGAGGCGGCUCUGGAAGAAGUCACCGGUGAAUUAACCGGUUUAAAGUGCCAUGUCUCUCAAAUGGUCUCAGCGACCUUUGGUAAGUCGCCCUGCAAGUGUUUAAAUAUCUAAGCCUUUCAGGUGAUCAUAAAAACUGGAAUUAACUCACCUGAUCACGUUUAUGCAGGCCCCAGAAGCUCAAACUUGAACCAAGACAUGCUGAUCAAACUGAAGGCAGUGUACACUUUGGUGGAGCAAUUGUACACCGGGUCACAACGUGCAUUAGCUACGGUGGAUUUGUCGAAUGAAGUGCCAACCCUCCUGGUAGAGGUCUUGAAGAAGCUUUCCGUGCUCCCUCAACAGUUCAAUGAACUGAGACGGUCAGCUGCAAGAGCCGAAGCGGUAAAUGCUUUAAGUCGGGCCAAGGCUUGGCUACCAGAGUUAGACCCAGCCGACAUUGCCACUGGCUACCCAAGCUUAAAGGAAGAUGGCACACCGUUUGAAGAAAACGACUUCACUGCUUGUGUAAAGGAGAUACGCCCCGUGGCUACACUUAUAGCGAAUGAAGUAGAUCUUACCAAAUAUCAGGCGGGUUAUGAUGAAGAAAACCGGAGAAUUCUAAUCCCUUAUUAUGAAGUGACCAGUCUGACCCCCCCACUCUGUAAGCACACCUUCGCUCCUGAAGUUGACCCGGCCGGCCUUGUUGAUGCUGAAGCUGAAUUUGAACUUUUGAACAACAUUGACUGGUCAUCGUCAACCUUCUAGGAAAGGGAGCAGGGCGAAGACGCGGAGAGGGCUAACCCGGACACUUCAGGCCAAUCAUGAAGGUUAACCUGCCGUGGUGGUUAAUACCUGGGAUGUACUUACAAAACAAUGUGAAUCAUUUGGACUCAGGGAGUCCUGUAAUAGAAUAGAAAUAACUUUAGUUUGGCCGUGCCAUCGUGCACGUUUUAUUGCUUAACGCCAUUAAGCCGCCGUGUUAUAUCCAUCCGUGUUACUUUUCAUCUGCUUACCGUAUGCUUGAUCAGACCUUUUAAACUGUCUUGCAUAUGAAAACAAACUACAAAAUCCCUUGGCGGCUUACCGCCAGGCGGGUAAAAAGAACUUAAAAAGAGUCAUAGACUAACUUGUUAUGAAAACACAACUAUGAUCUUACACCUGUGACUUUUUAAAUUUGCACCGCUGGCUCAUAUGACCCGGUCGGUAAGGGUGAUAACCCAAUCUUUGGACACCAAAAGUUCAAAGUUAUAAUGAUGCUCAUAUAUUGGCGACUCAUCAGUCGAUAUUAAGCCGGGUCAAAAAUAACCAUACUUGUACUUGUAAACCUCAAAAAGUCUCUAGUCAAACAACGAGUGCUUCCAAAGAAAACUUAAACCAAAAUAUAAUAUAAAAACUUCAAGGCUACUGAUUCGAAUAUGAUCAAUAAACCGUUCCAAAAGGGUUAAGAUAGGAUUCGAAUACGAUCAUGUAGCCCCCAAUGGCUUUGGCGUUGCGCCGAUCAAGAGGGUACCGAGAGUUGUGUUCUCUUUGGUUCGAAUACGACCUAUGUUUGAACAGGAAGCCCCCUAAUGACCUUGAGAGUUUUUUAACAACUCUGAUUCGAAUACGAUCAAAGUCGGUUCCCAAAAGGGGUUAAGCUAUGAUUCGAAUACGAUCAAGAAGCCCCCUAGUGAGCUCGGCAGUGUGCCAAUCAAAAGGGUACCGACAGCUGUGUUCUCUUUGGUUCGAAUAGGACCUAUGUUUGAACAGGAAGCCCCCUAAUGAUCAUAAUUUUUAACGGCUAGAUUCGAAUGCGAUCGUUAGCCGGAUCAAGCGGAUUAAGCCGGAUCAAAUGUGAUCAGCCCCCAAGUGAUCAUGUGAGAUAAUAAGGAUAAUAAUAAUAAUGACAAAUUUACCUUUGAGGGAGGAAAAAAGGACAGAGGUCCUGCUUUAUUAUUUAUCAUAAUAUAUACAUUGUCAAAAUAUGUACACUAGGAGAGUCUAUGGCUCAAGUGUAGUAAGGCCAAAGAUGAGCGAUAUUCCACGGUCGACGGGUCUCUUCCUCCGAUUUACGUGAGUCCUUGCGCUCUCCAACAUCGAUAAGGUAAUAUGACCCGUUGUUCAAGUUCUUGUUGACCACAAAGGGCCCUUUCCAAGGCGGGGAUAACUUGUGUGCAUCCGUUUGAUCCUCGAUCAGCCGGAGCACCAAAUCACCUUCCUGAAAGGUUUUAGACUUAACCCGGCGGCUGUGAUAUCGGUGCAAGUCAUGUUGGUAAAUCGCCGAACGAGCUGCUGCCAAGUCCCGUUGUUCAUCUAACAGGUCAAGAGCAUCCUGACGUGCCUGUUCAUUGUCCACUUCCACAUAAGCCGCCACGCGAGGUGAGUCAUGACGGAUGUCACUAGGGAGAACCGCCUCAGCUCCGUAGACCAUGAAAAAGGGCGUAUAACCCGGAGUCGUGUUGAUGCUCCAUAACACGGAAGGUAACUCCUCAACCCAGCAACCUGGCGUUCGUUGCAAGGGGACCAGAACCCGGGGCUUGAUGCCUUUCAAGAUCUCCUGAUUGGUUCUCUCGGCUUGACCAUUGGAUUGUGGGUGAGCUACCGAUGAAACAUCAAGCCGAAUAUGCUCACGUUGACAAAAUUCUUCCAUGGUGCCUUUAGACAUAUUGGUACCAUUGUCAGUUAUAAUACUGUGUGGAAAGCCGAAGCGAAAUAUCACCUUUUUCAUGAACUGAACCGCCGUAGCCGCAUCACACUUACUGACUGGCUCUGCCUCAACCCACUUUGUAAAUUUAUCAACUGCCACCAAGAGGUGGGUAUUUUUAUCUUUGGAACAUUUAAAAGGCCCAACCAUGUCAAGUCCCCAGACUGCAAAUGGAAUCAUCCUCAAUUCAUGAUCCAGCACAUGAGCCCGUCUUGAGAACUUCUGACAACCGUCACAUUUGCUGACCAAGUCCUCUGCAUCAGCAUGAGCCGUCAGCCAACAGAAUCCGUGACGGAAAGCCUUUGCCACGAGGGAUUUUGACCCGGCGUGAUGACCACAAUCCCCUUCAUGAAUCCCACGAAGAAUUUCUUUGCCUUCUUCAGGAGAGAUGCAACGCUGAAAUGCCCCUAUAACACUGCGAUGAUGCAACUCGCCACCGACAAUCGUCAUAGACUUAGACCGUCGGGUUAUCUGCCUGGCCAAGGUUUCAUCCUCAGGCAACUCACCAUGAGUCUUAUAAGCCAGAUAUGGCACCGUCCAAUCUGGAAUGACAUGAAGAGCCGCCACCAAUUGUGCUUCCGGGUUAGGAACAAUGAAUUCUUCCUCUGUGGGUAGCCUGACAGAAGGGUUAUGCAGAAUAUCCAAGAAAAUAUUAGGCGGCACCGGCUUACGCUGAGAUCCCAGCCGGCUUAAAGCAUCAGCUGCCUCGUUCUUUCUGUGGUCAAUGUGCUCCACCUGAUAACCCUUGAAGUGUCCAACAAUUGCAUCGACUUCGCGGCAACAAGCCACCAUGAGGGGAUCCUUAGAAUCCCACUUGCCUGAUACCUGCUGAGCCACCAGAUCUGAGUCGCCAAAACACCUUACCCAGCUUAAGCUCAUCUCUUUAGCCAUCCGGAGACCAUGGACCAAGGCUUCGUACUCAGCUGCAUUGUUAGUACAAUGAAACAUCAACCGUAGCACAUAACAAAAUUUGUCAUCUCGAGGGGAAGCUAAAACAACUCCAGCCCCCGAGCCCUCCAAUUGUCUGGACCCGUCAAAGUGAAUAGUCCUAUCAGAGUAAUGGGCCACGGGUAGGCUAACCCGAGCCCCAGAACCUUUCAAGACAUCGGGGCAGGCUACGCCCCUCAAGCCGAGUCCUAGGUGCGACUCCAAGAUAAGCCGAGUCCCAGGCGCGACUCCAAGAUAAGCCGAGUCCCAGGCGCGACUCCAAGAUAAGUCGAGUCCCAGGCGCGACUCCAAGAUAAGCCGAGUCCCAGGCGCGACUCCAAGAUAAGCCGAGUUCCAGGGACGACUCCAAGAUAAGCCGACUCAUGGCCGGCGACUUCCAGAGAAGCCGGGUAUGGAGAGUCGGCCCGCGACUCCACCCGUCUCCUACCUUCGCCGUGAUAGGCGGGGCGGGGUACGGUCACAGCGUGGCUGUCACCCCCCGCUUACGAGGGGCUGGCAUGGCUACAGUGUGCCGUAUUGCUGGAGAUCUCCAGUGGUGCACUGUGUCAACGACGGCCUACCUGUACGACCCAGAGACGGCAGGACCCGCCCGUCAGCGAGAGCACAGAAGAUGGCGGAUACGCCCCGAAGACGGACCCAUGGGAGUCGGCCCCCCUGGAGUCGGCCGACCCCUCCCACGGGCCCCACAUGCCAUUAACCAGACAAGAUGGGGAAUGGCGACAGUGAUCGUUCGAUAGACGGCGGCACUGUUGCCACGACCCCAUGACCAAGCCUGCGUCAUUAGAAGCACGGCUACAGUACCGGACCCGCCCCAGCAGUCGGUGGAGAAGAUGGCGGCCUGAGAGACAAACAACUGGGGCCCGCGCCCAGCCGGAUUACCGUUGUACCCCCGGGGGGUAGGCCUAUAUAAACCCCCCGGGGCACCCAUGCAAAGGGUUGGAAUCCAGUAGCACUAGACCAUAGCAAAUAGGAAGGAGAGAGUUGGCCCUGCCUUCUCCUACCUCCAGAAUACAGCUCGAGGAGCAACCUUGUACUCACUUUGCCUUAGUGAUCAUGCGGACACCCCGCAGAGCAGCAGUAGGGGUGUUAUCUCCUAGGAGAGCCCCGAAGCUGGGUAAGAUCCGCCGACGUGCAUGUCUUCGUCUCAUUCCGUUUCCUGGCACCGGCGAUGUUCUACUCGCUCCCACCAUGAUAAGCCAUCCUUUGGCAUAUGUCGCACCCAACCCCCGACAAGUCCAAUAUGUGUUGUCCGACUUUUCUUCAGAUAUCUGCAACUGUGUCCAAUCAUUGAUGAAAUCCACUAGUGCUUGAGAUUUAAUAGCCGUGCGCGGCACAUACUUCAAGCCAUGAGGCCCAAGCUCAAUGGCCCACUUGGUGACUCGUCCUGUGGCCUCUCUGUUUUGAAUGAUAUCCCCCAAAGGAGCUGAACUAACCACAGUAAUGGGGUGGCCCAGGAAGUAUUGCUUAAGCUUCCGGCUUGCCAUGAACACCCCAUAAAUGAGCUUCUGCCAAUGUGGAUACCGUUGUUUGGAAUCAAUAAGGACCUCGCUGAUGUAGUACACCGGCCAUUGAAGCGGGUGUUCCUUGCUGGCGUCCUUGCGCUCCACCAUGAUGGCCACGCUAACGGCACGCGUGUUAGCAUCCACAUAUAAUAACAUGGGCUCCUUAUCAAUAGGAGCAGCAAGAACCGGCGGCUCAGCCAGCUAUUUCGUCAGAUCUUCAAAAGCGGCAUUGGCAGCGUUACUCCAGACGAAGUUAUCCGUCUUCUUCAUCAUUUGAUACAGUGGUAUGGCCUUCUCACCUAACCGGCUUAUGAACUGGCUUAAAGCAGCGAUACGACCCACCAAACGCUGAACGUCAUUGAUACACGCCGGUUUGGCCAGAGAGGUGAUGGCCUUGAUCUUCUCUGGGUUAGCCUCGAUGCCCCUGUUAGAAACCAGAAAUCCCAAAAGCUUGCCUGCCGGCACACCAAAAACACACUUGGCCGGGUUAAGCAUCAUCUUGUAAACCCGAAGAUUGUCAAAGGUUUCCUGGAGAUCAUCAAUCAAGGUCUCCUUCUCUCUGGAUUUCACCACUAUGUCAUCCACAUAAGCAUGAACGUUGCGCCCAAUUUGAUUAUGAAGACAAUUCUGCACACAUCGUUGAUAAGUCGCCUGGGCACUCUUGAGCACAAAAGGCAUUGAUACAUAGCAGAAGGCUCCAAACGGAGUAAUGAACGCCAUCUUCUCCUGGUCCUUAACUGCCAUCUUGAUCUGAUGAUAACCAGAGUAAGCAUCCAAAAAACUCAAACGCUCACAACCUGCCGUAGCAUCAAUGAUUUGAUCAAUACGAGGGAGAGCAAAAGGAUCAGCUGGACAGGCCUUGUUUAAAUCCGUGUAAUCUACACACAUACGCCAAGUGCAGUUUUUCUUAGGCACAAGCACCGGGUUAGCCAACCACUCUGGAUGAAAACUUCAAUGAUGAACCCAGCUGCUAAGAGUCGGGCUACCUCCUCACCAAUGGCCUUCCGCCUCUCCUCAUUGAACCGCCGAAGAAAAUGUUUGACCGUCUUAAACUUUGGAUCAAUAUUAAGAGUGUGCUCAGCAAGUUCUCUCGGUACACCUGGAAUGUCAGAAGGCUUCCAUGCAAAAAUGUCCCGGUUCUCACGGAUGAACUCGAUGAGCGCGCUUUCCUAUUUGGGAUCCAAAUUGGCACUAAUACUGAACUGCUUGGACGAGUCACCUGGAACAAAGUCAACAAGCUUAGUAUCAUCAACCGACUUAAACUUCUUGACUGGCUCAUGCUCUGUGGUUGGCUUCUUUAAAGAUGUCAUAUCCGCCGGGUCAACAUUUUCCUUGUAAAAUUUUAACUCUUCUGUUGCACAGACCGACUCAGCAUAAGCCGCGUCACCUUCUUCACAUUCCAAGGCUACCUUCCGGCUCCCAUGCACCGUAAUGGUUCCCUUAUGACCCGGCAUCUUGAGCUGCAAAUACACAUAACACGGCCGUGCCAUGAAUUUGGCAUAAGCCGGCCGCCCAAACAGAGCACACUACAACAGGACCCCACAUAUAGCAACGCAUGUUUCCGUAUCUAAAAGUCCAUAUAUGCGUUGCUAGGGUCGUUACCAACGGUUUGGGAUGCGUAGCCUUAUGCAGUGUUGCUAGCGCAUAAUGCAACGGUUAUACUUCCGUUGGUAAAAGGAACCAUUGCAAGAGUACAACACAUAAAACCAACUUUUACAACACUCAUAUACGUUGGUGGUUAAUGUAUAGGAAUUCAAAUUCAUCUACAUGGUUGCAACACUAAAGGUGUUUUACAUAUAAAAUGUGAAUAAUAUUUAUAUAUUGCCAGCAAUUAAAUUAACGCUCCACAUAAUGGUGAUAAGUAUGUAUAUCAAGUCGGAAAAAAAUAUACGCACGAGAGAAGAAAUCAUAUAUUGAAAAAAAUUGUGGGAUUACAAUAGUUGAUAUUACAGGAGAAAUAACAUCCAAAUGUGAUGCAUAAUUUGAAUAUUCUCUUGACAGCAAAACUUAAACUGAAAUCCUCCAUCAACAUCCCUACAACUUAACUAAAACUUAACCGAGGAACAUAAUCUAAUAGGAAAGCUUAUUACCAAAAUCGGUCUCACCGAGUUUGUGUAAUCGGUCUCACCGAGAUUACGUUAUGCCCUAAUCCUAACCAUAUCGGUCCUACCGACUUGCAUGUCGGUCCCACCGAAAAUCCUGACGGUCACUAGGUUUACUAAAUCGGUCUAACCGAGUCUGUUGAGUCGGUCCCACCGAGUUUGGUAAAUUGUAUGUAACGGUUAGAUUUUGUGUGGAGGCUAUAUAUACCCCUCUACCUCCUCUUCAUUCGCGGAGAGAGCCAUCAGACUGAACCUACACUUCCAACUUACCAUUUCUGAGAGAGAACCACCUACUCAUGUGUUGAGGCCAAGAUAUUCCUACCAUAUGAAUCUUGAUCUCUAGCCUUCCCCAAGUUGCUUUCCACUCAAAUCUUCUUUCCACCAGAUCCAAAUCCUAUGAGAGAGUGUUGAGUGUUGGGGAGACUAUCAUUUGAAGCACAAGAGCAAGGAGUUCAUCAUCAACGCACCAUUUGUUACUUCUUGGAGACUGGUGUCUCCUAGAUUGGCUAGGUGUCACUUGGGAGCCUCCGACAAGAUUGUGGUGUUGAACCAAGGAGUUUGUAAGGGCAAGGAGGUCGCCUACUUCGUGAAGAUCUACCGCUAGUGAGGCAAGUCCUUCGUGGGCGACGACCAUGGUGGGAUAGACAAGGUUGCUUCUUCAUUGACCCUUCGUUGGUGGAGCCCUCCGUGGACUCGCGCAACCGUUACCCUUCGUGGGUUGAAGUCUCCAUCAACGUGGAUGUACGAUAGCACCACAUAUCGGAACCACGACAAAAACAUCUGUGUCUCCAAUUGCGUUUGAAUCCUCCAAACCCUUCCCUUUACAUUCUUGCAAGUUGCAUGCUUUAAUUUCUGCUGCUCAUAUACUCUUUGCAUGCUUGCUUGAAUUGUGUGAUGAUUGUGUGACUUGUCCAAAGAUAGCUAAAAUCUGCCAAACUCUAAAAUUGGGAAAAGGUUAAGUUUUUAAUUGGUCAAGUAGUCUAAUCACCCCCUCUAGACAUACUUCAAGGUCCUACAAGUGGUAUCAGAGCUUUGGUCUCCAUUUGCUUUGAUUUCCAUAGCUUUUGGUGGUCAUAGUCUUGGUUUCACAACCUAGGAGAGUAUGGCGUCUAGCGAGGGAAAUUAUCACCAUAGAGGUCCUUACUUUGAUGGUACUAAUUUUGCUAGUUGGAAGCAUAAGAUGAAAAUGCAUAUUCUCGGACAUAACCCUGCCGUUUGGGCUAUUGUGUGUAUUGGCUUGCAAGGUGAAUUCUUUGAUGGGAGAGAACCGAACCAUGAAGCUAGCGCGGAAGAAUUGAAGAUGCCGCAAUACAACGCUCAAGCUUGUGAUAUCCUCUUCAAUGGUUUGUGCUCCGAAGAAUUCAACAAAAUCAGCCGUCUUGAGAAUGCAAAGGAAACUUGGGAUACUUUGAUUGAUAUGCAUGAAGGUACCGACUCCGUCAAGGAAUCCAAGUUGGAUGUGCUCCAAAGUCAGCUUGACAAGUUCAAAAUGAAGGAUGGUGUAGGUGUCGCUGAAAUGUACUCUAGGCUUGCUCUUAUCACAAAUGAGAUUGCCGACUUAGGGAGUGAAGAGAUGACCGACAGAUUCAUCAUCAAGAAGAUCCUAAGAGCAUUGGAUGGAAAGUAUGAUACUGUGUGCACAUUGAUCCAAAUGAUGCCAAAUUACAAAGAUCUCAAGCCAACGGAAGUCAUUGGAAGAAUUGUUGCUCAUGAGAUGUCAGUCAAGGAUAAGGAGGAACUUCACAACAAGUCAAGUGGUGCUUACAAAGCCUCAUGUGAAGCCCCCACAUCAUCAAGUGAGAAACAAACCUUCAAUGAAGAAUUGAGCUUAAUGGUGAAGAACUUGAACAAAUUCUACAAGAGUAGAAGCAAAGAAAGAAGCUCUAAAUCAAGGUCCUAUAAUGACAAAAGAUCUUCUAGUCGAGAGCGCAAUUGCUACAAUUGUGGGAGAGCCAGACACUAUUCCAAUGAGUGUACGUCACCCUACAAAAGAAGAGAAGAUUCUCCAAAAAGAAGAAGCAAAAGAGAAGAAUCAUCACCAAGAGAGAGGAGGAGUAGAGAUGAUCGUUAUGAAUGAAGACCCUCACGGAGAAGCAAAGAUUCGGAAAGGAAGGACAAGUCAUCAAGGAGCUACACAAAAUGAAGACAUCAAGCUCAUGUUAGUGAUAUGGUAUCUGGCUCUGACUCCGACAAUCACUCCGAGAGAAGCUAUCACUCCGACUCCGAAUAUACUCAAGAUGAAGGUGUUUCCGGUCUAGCACUUGUGUCAACCAACUCCUAUGACAUAUUUGAUUCACCAAAUGAAGGAAUUGGAAGAUGCUUCAUGGCCAAAGGCCCUAAGGUAACACAUCCCAAGUAUGUUGAUUUCAAUAGUGAUGAAGAUGACUUGCUAGGUGCUGAUGAUUUACUUGUUGACAACUCUAGUGAUGAAUACUAUGAUGAAACGUCAAUUAAUCAUGCUAAUCAAGAUAAAACGAAUGACAAUGAUAAGGAGAAGAUUGAGCUUCUAACUAAAGAACUAAACACUCUUAAGUUAGCUCAUGAAACUAUCUUCGAAGAUCAUCGAGAACUUUUAAGGGCUCAUGAGAAGUUACGCUUUGAAAAGCUCAAUCUUGAGCAAGAGCAUGAGUUCUUAAAAGCAAUCAAUGAUGAUCUCCGUAAGAAAAGUUCUUCUUACAUUGCCUAGCGUUUACUCUUAUCUACUUACAUGCCUCAGGUCAAGUCUAGUAACAAGAACAAGAAAGAUCCUUCCUCUAGUAGUCACAAUAACAAUGCUAAAUGCAACAUUGUUGCUUCUAGUAGUUCUCUUGAUUCCACUAAUGAUUCUCUUAGCCAAGUUACACUUGAGCAAGAAAAUAGCUUAUUGAAGGGAAUUAUAGAGAAAGGUGUAUACAAGAGCCUUGCCGGGCGUAAGAAAUUCGAGGAAAUUGUACGCAAGCAAGGAAGGCACCGGAAGAAUCAAGGUGUUGGUUUUGAACGAAAGUUCGAUGCCAAUGGAGUUGAGUGGGAAGAAGAUCAAUACCCCAAGACGAAGUUGUUCCUCAACAAGAGAAGUAUGAUCCUACUUCCUUCAAGGGAACACAAGCACAAGAUGAUCUUCCACCACAAGACCACAAGAACAAAGGCAAGGACAAGCUUCAAGAGGAGAUUGAUGCAUUUGAAGAAGCACCUAAGGCCUUGGUCAAGUGGGUUCCCAAGACUACGUCAAGUUCUACUUCAUCAAGUACAACUACAACUCCAAGGAUUCCCAUCAAGAUGAUGUGGAUCCCGAAGAAGAAGAACUAGAGUUCUUGAGGGUGACUCCUUCUAUAUUCUUCACUCAUAUCAUUAUGGCAAGGACAAGGGCAAUCAACUUCCAUAUCUUGCACUAGUUCAAGGAGUCACAAACCCUCAUGUUGGUAAGGCAAGGGACAAGGUAACCUAAUGAUUUCAUGGACAUCAUAUUGUGUGUGCAUCACUCUAUGUCUAUGGAUAUUCUUGUUUGUUCCUUGUGGGACUAACCCAUGUAGGUAUGUUGAAAGUGCAACUCACUCCAAAGGAUUGCUCCAAAUGAUCUACAUCAACAUUGAGCAUCCACAUCUUCAACUCCUACAUGAAGUCAUCAUCGACAAAACCCAAGGUUAGUUCAUCCCUCUAAGGGGGGAUCUCACAUCUAGGGGGAGCUUAACUCUAAAAUUGAGUCAAACCAACUCUAAUGGUGUGAACACAUCAAUGCAUUAUGUAAAAGUGGUAACCCCACUUGAGCUUAAACGAUGAGUAUGACCUAUGAUCAAAUGUUCUCGUUUGACUCCUAAGUCAAUAUACUCAUAUAUAGAUGACCUAGUCAUCGCCAAUUGUUUGAUAGAUGCUAGAAUUGGUUGUGCAUGCUUUGCCACAUAUUUCAUUUGCCAUUUUAUUGUGUGAGCAUGUUGGAUGCAUAUUUUACUCAUUCGAGGAAAUCCACUUGUUUCUUUGAUUGUUUGGCUUCUUUUUCUUUGGCCAAGUGGAUGGACAAGAAUGCCUAAGAACCUUCUCUAGCUAUCUAUGAUUUUCUUGUCUCAAACUCUUUUCAUGCUACAUCAAAAAUUUGAUCAAGUCAGAUUCGAAUCACUCUGUGUGAGGAGCACUCGGAGUCCCCGAUUCGUCAUAGACUUAAACUUCCAAAACUUCUUUGUGAUUCUCGGUCUGACCAAUUCCUCCAUUGCGGUCCUACCAAGAUCACUAAGUCGAUCUAGGUUUUCAAUCUCGGUGCAACCGAUUUGAAUAUUUUGGUCACACCGAGUUGCUGUAACGUUAUACAGUUAUGCAUCUCGGUGCCACCCAGUUGUUCCACUCAGUCACACCGACAGGGUCGGGCUAUAUAUACUCACGGGCAAAAAUUUGGAAAUUUUCUCCAAACCCCUUCGCCCGCGCAUAGCUUGCUCUGCCUACUAGGUCUCCGGAUUGUCUCCUCGUCGCCAACCGCCUCCUGUUGCUGGUCUCCGCCGCUGUCAACGGAAUUCACCCCCGCCGUUGCCGCCAUAGCGAGUUCAUCGCCAAGCUAGGGUAUGGACUCGAUCACAGUGCUAUCCCCGUCCGAUUCCUAGCACAUUGUGAUCAUUAUGAUUCUUGCCACGAUUGAAACACUCCUAUCCAGUCAAUACAAUCCUUAGAAUAGACGCGAUUUGAAAAUUUAGGGUUAGGUUUCCGCCGAAACCAUCUCGGACCCACCGGGUUGAAAAACUCGGUCCCACCGAUUUGGCUAACGCCAUUGCACUAGUAACUCUCGGUAUGACCGAGAAUUGCUAAUCGGUGUGACCGAUUUAAAACUUUGUGAAACCCUAGCAGUCUUGGUGCCAUCGAACUGUGACUCGGUCCGACCGAGUUCACUAGUUUAGGUUCCAAAACUGCGUUGGUAUCACCUAGUUUGAAAAUUGGUUGAUCCGAAAUGCUUUAUGUGGAAAACUAAAACUAAGUUUUUGAAUCAUUUUUUGCAAAAAUAUCUGCAUUUUGUGAUGCUCAUCCACUCUAUCUCAUCUAUAACUAUUCACAGGGUCAGCAGUCAGAGUUUGCAGCAUGCCAGACCAAAGUGAUAGUCAGAACAAGUCAGAAGAGCACAAUCACAUGAGUGAGGGCACUAGUCCCUCUAGCACUUCAGAUGAUGGCAGCAGGAGCACCCCAAGAAAUUUGCCUAAAGCUGCCACCAGGACAAGGAAGAAGAGAACCUUAGAAUCUGAGGAUGAGGAUUAUAUGGCAGAAGAAGAUGAGGCUACUUCCAAGAAGGUAGUGCUAAAAAGGAGUAUGCCUCAGCAAAGAACACAAAGCCUGGACUCAAUAGGAAGGUCCCUGCCAAGAGGACACCUAUGUUGAAGGUCAGAGGAUCAACUCAAGUGCCUGAAAAGCUAGAUCCCAAAGAGGCACAUGCAAGAAGAGUUACAACUUCCAAACCCAAGAAGGUUCCCACUGGAGAAACCAUGAAGUUUACCAUUGAAUCAGAAGAUGAAGCUGCAGGUCAAGAUAAGAAGAAGAAGAGAGCCAGAACCACUACUGCCAAGGUUCUUGGCAACCCCUCUAUGAGGAGAGACUCUGAGGAGGAGGAAGAAGAGGUUGAUGCACCAGCACCCAAGGCACAAAAGCUGAUGGGUGAUGCUAUAAAGUCAGGGGCUGCAACAUCAAAGCCCAAGGAAGCACCCAAAGCUGCCCCCAAGCCCAAGAUUGCACCAAAGAGGAAUACAAGGAGUAUUCCAGCUGCUGAGAAGAACAAGGCUCCAGUGCCAUAAGUUGCUGAUGAGGAAGAUGAUGAAGGACAAGUCCUGAGGAAGCUAAAGCCAAAGAUUCCAGACCACAAUGAUGCUCAUCCUGUGGCUGAGAAUAUGAAGUUAAGAAAGGAUGCAGGACUCAGACUGUGGAGGCUAUCAGAUCCAUAUGCUACCAGGAGAAGGACUGAUGUUGAUUACAAGUUCCACAGUAAGGAACAACAGGACUUCUAUGAGACAGUGUUGUUGGACAAGAAUCCUAUAGUGUGUUAUAUGAGGUGGGUCGACUGGACCUACAUGAAGGAAAAUGAAGAACACUAUCCUGGAGUGCAAGAUAGUUUCAUUGCUUGUGGAGUUGCAGACUUUGUUGGGCAGAAGCUCACAAAGUGGAAUGAUGAGCUCAUUAUGCAAUUCUAGUCCACAACACAUUUCCAUCCAGAUGACAGGAUAGUUUGGAUGUCUGAAGGUACAAGGUACCAGUCAACCAUUGAGGAAUGGGCCAAUCUGAUCAAUGCCCCAAAGGAGAGUGAAGAUGACUUGGAUGUCUAUGCCAAGAAGAAGAUGGAUCACAAUACCAUGGCUCAUAUGUACAAGGAGAUCCCAGAUGCUGCAGUUGAGACACAUAAGUUUGGGUCAGUUCAUUUUCUUCUGUCAGGGCUGCCAACGAUCAACUGGAUCCUAAGACACACUCUUUUGCCCAAGUCAGGUGACCACAACAUGAUUAGAGGGCAUGCUAUAAACUUGCUACAUUUGUUUGAUGUGCCACAGAAAUUCAAGGUCAUGAGCCUCAUUGUUGAGACCAUUAAGAGGACAACAGUAGACCAGAAGAGAAGUUGUGGAUAUGCCCCACAGAUUCAGGAGUUGAUUAACUCAAAGAUGGGCACAGGCACAUACUUGCUGGACAAGGAACACUUUGCUAUCUAUCCAGACUUUGAGGACAAUCAAGUUGUGAUGAAUGAGAAUGAACCAUCAUCAGUGCAAGCUCAAGAGAAGAAGGAGAGAGCAAAGAAAGAGAAGGAUGCCAAGAUGCCAACUCAAGAGGAGGCAUCUGAGUACUUUUUGAAGAGCAAGCAGGAGCAGCUUGGUUACUUGAUAGCAUCAACACUGAGGAUUGAGAAGGGGUUGGCCACUCUAACUCAAAACCAGGAGAGCCUGGAAAGAAUCAUGGAACAAAAAUUCUAUGAUCUAGAUGUCAAAGUAACUGAGAUUCAGUCAGUUGUGGAGCAGCUACAGGAUGACAUGCAGGAGAGGAAGGGCAAGACAACCACUGAUGCAUUUGCCAGAGUGCCUAAAGCUCAGAGAUCAGCUGCAGUGCCUGUGACAGACACCAGAGCCACAUCAUCUGCACCAGCUACAGCUCCUACAGCUCCAGUGCAACCAGCUCCAGCACCAACUCCUCCAACUUCAUCCACAUCAACUGAAGCCUUUGUCCAAGGAGCUAUCUCUACACCACCACCUGAAGAUCAAGCCUGAGAGUCGAUCUAGCACUAUGCAUUUUGUAUGAACUUUUUGCUAAGUUGUUGCCAAAGGGGGAGAAAAAUGUAUAGAUCAUAGGCUUCGAGAGAGAGAGUGUGUGUUGCCUUUUUGUUCUCUCUUGCUUUGGUGGUUAAACUUUGUUUGCUUUUGAUUUCUUGAGAUAAUAUGCUAUUAUCUGUGAGACUUUGAUGAUCAUGUGUUUGAUCAUAAGCUACACUUAUGCUUGUAGAUGAUAUUAUCCUACCUAUCCUUAUAUGAUCAUUCACUUUGCUUGGUGAUGAAUGCAUGUAUUUAAUCUUUAUUAUUUUGAGCGCUCCACCAAGAUGUAUGUGACAUGGAAGAGUAACCCAUGAGCCUAAUUCCUUGUGCAUUUGCAGUCCAAAGCAAAUCUUAAACUAUGCACAAACUUAGGGGGAGCUCUUGCUUAUCACAUACUUCUCAAAGCGAUGAUGUUUUUCAAUCUUAUUAUCAUUUGUAGAAGCUUUGAUCUAUAUGUUGUCAUCAAUUACCAAAAAGGGGGAGAUUGAAAGUGCAACUAUCCCUAGGUGGUUUUGGUAAUUCAUAACAACAUAUAGCUCAUUGAGCUAAUGCUAUUCCAAGACAAAUAUUUCAGGAAAGCUCAAUGAAUGGCAUGGCAUGGAUGAUGAAAGUGGAUCCCUCAAAAUAUCAAGGACAAAGGAUUGGCUCAAGCACAAAAGCUCAAGACUCUUCAUUUUACAUUUUAGUGAUCCAAGAUCACAUUGAGUCUAUAGGAAAAGCCAAUACUAUCAAGGAGGGAUGAGGUGUUCCUUAAUGAGCCUCUUGCUUCAAAGUGCUUAGUGAUAUGCUCCGAAAACCCUCAACUACUUUCUCACAUCCACAUAUGACCUAAACCCAAAGUUAAAAUCGGUCCCACCGAUUCUUUCUAUCCGGCGCCACCGAGUUCAUUUGUCAUAGCCACUGCCACAAACCCUACGCAAAUCGGUCUCACCGAUAGGGAUCUUGGUCUCACCGAGAUGGGAUUGUAAUCUCUCUGUUUCCCUUUGUAACGUUUUGGUAUAAUCGAAGUGAGCGAUCAGUCCCACUAAGAUUGCAAUGUAAACUCCUUGUUUCCCUUUCGUAACAUUUCGGUCUCACCGAAAUGAGCGAAUCGGUCCCACCGAGUUUACCUGACCAACUCUCUGGAAAGCUUAUUACCAAAAUCGGUCUCACUGAGUUUGUGUAAUCGGUCUCACCGAGAUUACGUUAUGCCCUAACCCUAACCAUAUCGGUCCUACCGAGUUGCAUGUCGGUCCCACCGAAAAUCCUAAUGGUCACUAGGUUUACUAAAUCGGUCUGACCGAGUCUGUUGAAUCGGUUCCACCGAGUUUGGUAAAUUGUGUGUAAUGGUUAGAUUUUGUGUGGAGGCUAUAUAUACCCCUCCACCUCCUCUUCAUUCAUGGAGAGAGCCUUCAGACUGAACCUACACUUCCAACUUACCAUUUCCGAGAGAGAACUACCUACUCAUGUGUUGAGGCCAAGAUAUUCCAUUCCUACCAUAUGAAUCUUGAUCUCUAGCCUUCCCCAAGUUGCUUUCCACUCAAAUCUUCUUUCCACCAGAUCCAAAUCCUAUGAGAGAGAGUUGAGUGUUGGGGAGACUAUCAUUUGAAGCACAAGAGCAAGGAGUUCAUCAUCAACGCACCAUUUGUUACUUCUUGGAGACUGGUGUCUCCUAGAUUGGCUAGGUGUCACUUGGGAGCCUCCGACAAGAUUGUGGAGUUGAACCAAGGAGUUUGUAAGGGCAAGGAGAUCGCCUACUUUGUGAAGAUCUACCGCUAGUGAGGCAAGUCCUUCGUGGGUGACGAUCAUGGUGGGAUAGACAAGGUUGCUUCUUCAUGGACCCUUCGUGGUUGGAGCGCUCCGUGGACUCGCGCAACCAUUACCCUUCGUGGGUUGAAGUCUCCAUCAAUGUGGAUGUACGAUAGCACCACCUAUCGGAACCACGACAAAAACAUCUGUGUCUCCAAUUGCGUUUGAAUCCUCCAAACCCUUCCCUUUACAUUCUUGCAAGUUGCAUGCUUUAAUUUCCGCUGCUCAUAUACUCUUUGCAUGCUUGCUUGAUUUGUGUGAUGAUUGCUUAACUUGUCCAAAGAUAGCUAAAAUCUGCCAAACUCUAAAAUUGGGAAAAGGUUAAGUUUUUAAUUGGUCAAGUAGUCUAAUCACCCCCCCCCCUCUAGACAUACUUCAAGGUCCUACAGACUAGCUCUUUGUCACCUCCAUAAACGAGAAAUUCAGGUAUUUCAGGAUAUUCUUGACCGAUGUCCAGUGAUCCACUCCUGGAUUACUUUGGUACCUACCUGCCAAGCUUAUUGCUAAGCAUACGUCAAGUCUGGUACACAGCAUUGCAUACAUGAUAGAGCCUAUGGCUGAAGCAUAGGGAACAUCUUUCAUUUUCUCUCUAUCUUCUGUUGUGGUCGGGCAUUGAGUCUGACUCAACUUCACACCUUGUAAUACAGGCAAGAACACUUUCUUUGCCUGAUCCAUUUUGAACUUUUUCAAAACUUUAUCAAGGUAUGUGCUUUGUGAAAGUCCAAUUAAGCGUCUUGAUCUAUCCCUAUAGAUCUUGAUGCCCAAUAUGUAAGCAGCUUCACCGAGGUCUUUCAUCAAAAAACUUUUAUUCAAGUAUCCCUUUAUGCUAUCCAGAAAUUCUAUAUCAUUUCCAAUUAACAAUAUGUCAUCUACAUAUAAUAUCAGAAAUGCUACAGAGCUCCCACUCACUUUCUUGUAAAUACAGGCUUCUCCAAAAGUCUAUAUAAAACCAUAUGCUUUGAUCACAGUAUCAAAGCAUUUAUUCCAACUCCGAGAGGCUUGCACUAGUCCAUAAAUGGAUCGCUGGAGCUUGCACACUUUGUUAGCACCUUUUGGAUCGACAAAACCUUCCGGCUGCAUCAUAUACAACUCUUCUUCCAGAAAUCCAUUCAGGAAUGCAGUUUUGUCAUCCAUUUGCCAAAUUUCAUAAUCAUAAAAUGCGGCAAUUGCUAACAUGAUUCAGGCAAACUUAAGCAUCGCUACGGGUGAGAAAGUCUCAUCGUAGUCAACCCCUUGAACUUGUCGUAAACCUUUCGCAACAAGUCAAGCUUUGUAGACAGUUACAUUACCAUCAGCGUUAGUCUUCUUUUUGAAGAUCCAUUUAUUCUUGAUGGCUUGCCGAUCAUGGGGCGAGUCAACCAAAGUCCAUACUUUGUUCUCAUACAUGGAUCCCAUCUCAGAUUUCAUGGCCUCUAGCCAUUUUGCGGAAUCUGGGCUCAUCAUCACUUCCUCAUAGUUCGUAGGUUCGCCAUGGUCAAGUUACAUGACUCCAGAAUAGGAUUACCGUACCACUCCGAUGCGGAUCUUACUCUGGUUGACCUACGAGGUUCGGUAGUAACUUGAUCUGAAGUUUCAUGAUCAAUAUCAUUAGCUUCCUCACUGAUUGGUGUAGUUGUCACAGGAACCGGUUCUUGUGAUGAACUACUUUCCAAUAAGGGAGCAGGUACAGUUACCUCAUCAAGUUCUACUUUCCUCCCACUCACUUCUUUCGAGAGAAACUCCUUCUCUAGAAAGGAUCCAAAUUUAGCAACCAAAAUCUUGCCCUCAGACCUGUGAUAGAAGGUGUACCCAAUAGUCUCUUUCGGGUAUCCUAUGAAGACACAUUUCUCCAAUUUGGUUUCAAGCUUAUCUGGUUGAAGUUUCUUCACAUAAGCAUCGCAGCCCCAAACUUUAAGAAACGACAACUUUGGUUUCUUGCCAAACCAUAGUUCAUAAGGCGUCGUUUCAACGGAUUUUGAUGGUGCCCUAUUUAACGUGAAUGUGGCCGUCUCUAAAGCAUAACCCCAAAAUGAUAGCGGUAAAUCAGUAAGAGACAUCAUAGAUCGCACCAUAUCUAGUAAAGUACGAUUACGAUGUUCGGACACACCAUUUCGUUGUGGUGUUCCAGGUGGCGUGAGUUGUGAAACUAUUCCGCAUUGCUUCAAAUGUAAACAAAACUCGUAACUCAAAUAUUCUCCUCCACGAUCAGAUCGUAGAAAUUUUAUUUUCUUGUUACGAUGAUUUUCCACUUCACUCUGAAAUUCUUUGAACUUUUCAAAUGUUUCAUACUUGUGUUUCAUCAAGUAGAUAUACCCAUAUCUGCUCAAAUCAUCUGUGAAGGUGAGAAAAUAAUGAUACCCGCCGCGAGCCUCAAUAUUCAUUGGACCACAUACAUCAGUAUGUAUGAUUUCCAAUAAAUCAGUUACUCGCUCCAAAGUUCCGGAGAACGGUGUUUUAGUCAUCUUGCCCAUGAGGCACGGUUCGCAAGUACCAAGUGAUGCAUAAUCAAGUGAUUCCAGAAGUCCAUCAGUAUGGAGUUUCUUCAAGCGCUUUACACCAAUAUGACCCAAACGGCAGUGCCACAAAUAAGUUGCACUAUCAUUAUCAACUCUGCAUCUUCUGGCGUCAACAUUAUGAAUAUGUGUAUCACUACUAUCGAGAUUUAAUAAAAAUAGACCACUCUUCAAGGGUGCAUGACCAUAAAAGAUAUUACUCAUAUAAAUAGAACAACCAUUAUUCUAUGAUUUAAAUGAAUAGCCGUCUUGCCUCAAACAAGAUCCAGAUAUAAUGUUCAUGCUCAACGCUGGCAGCAAAUAACAAUUAUUCAGGUCUAAAACUAAUCCCGAUGGUAGAUGUAGAGGUAGCGUGCCGACCGCGAUCACAUCGACUUUGGAACCAUUUCCCACGCGCAUCGUCACCUCGUCCUUAGCCAAUCUUCGCUUAAUCUGUAGUCCCUGUUUCGAGUUGCAAAUAUUAGCAACAGAACCAGUAUCAAAUACCUAGGUGCUACUGCGAGCAUUAGUAAGGUACACAUCAAUAACAUGUAUAUCACAUACACCUUUGUUCACUUUGCCAUCCUUCUUAUCCGCCAAAUACUUGGGGCAGUUCUGCUUCCAGUGUCCAGUCUACUUGCAGUGGGAGCACUCAGUCUCAGGCUUAGGUCCAGACUUGGGUUUCUUCUCUUGAGCAGCAACUUGUUUGCUAUUCUUCUUGAAGUUCCCUUUCUUCUUCCCUUUGCCCUUUUUCUUGAAACUGCUGGUCUUAUUGACCAUCAACACUUGAUGCUCCUUCUUGAUUUCUACUUCCGCAACCUUUAGCAUUGCGAAGAGCUCGGGAAUAGUCUUGUCCAUCCCUUGCAUAUUAUAGUUCAUCAUGAAGCUCUCGUAGCUUGGUGGCAGUGAUUGAAGAAUUCUGUCAAUGACACUAUCAUCAGGAAGAUUAACUCCUAGUUGAAUCAAGUGAUUAUUAUACCCAGACAUUUUGAGUAUAUGUUCACUGACAGAACUAUUCUCCUCCAUCUUACAACUAUAGAACUCAUUGGAGACUUCAUAUCUCUCAAUCCGGGCAUUUUCUUGAUAUAUUAACUUCAACUCCUGGAACAUUUCAUAUGCUCUAUGACGUUCAAAACAUCGUUGAAGACCCGGUUCCAAGACGUAAAGCAUGGCACACUGAACUAUCGAGUACUCAUCAGCUUUGCUCUGCCAGACGUUCUUAACGUCGUUAGUUGCAUCUGCAGCAGGCCUGGCACCUAGCGGUGCUUCAAAGAUGUAGUUCUUUUGUGCAGCAAUGAGGAUAAUCCUCAGGUUACAGACUCAGUCCGUGUAAUUGCUACCAUCAUCUUUCAACUUAGAUUUCUCAAGGAACCAUUAAAAUUUAACGGAACAAAUAGCACGAGCCAUCUAUCUACAACAAACAUAAACAAGCAAAAUACUAUCAGGUACUAAGUUCAUGAUAAAUUUAAGUUCAAUUAAUAAUAUUACUAAAGAACUCCCACGUAGACAAACAUCUCUCUAGUCAUCUAAGUGAUCACGUGAUCCAAAUCAACUAAACCAUGUCCGAUCAUCACGUGAGAUGGAGUAGUUUCAAUGGUAAACAUCACUAUGUUGAUCAUAUCUACUAUAUGAUUCACGUUCGACCUUUCGGUGUCCGUGUUCCAAGGCCAUAUAUGUAUAUGCUAGGCUCAUCAAGUUUAACAUGAGUAUUCCGCAUGUGCAACUGUUUUGCAUCCGUUAUAUUUGAACGUAGAGCCUAUCACACCCGAUCAUCACGUGGUGUCUCAGCACGAAGAACUUUCGCAACGGUGCAUACUCAGGAAGAACACUUCUUGAUAAUUAGUGAGAGAUCAUCUUAAAAAUGCUACCGUCAAUCAAAGCAAGAAAAGAUGCAUAAAGGAUAAACAUCACAUGCAAUCAAUAUAAGUGAUAUGAUAUGGCCAUCAUCAUCUUAUGCUUGUGAUCUCCAUCUCCGAAGCACCGUCGUGAUCACCAUCGUCACUAGCGCGACACCUUGAUCUCCAUCGUAGCAUCUUUGUCGUUUACGCCAUCUAUUGCUUCUACAACAGUCGCUACCGCUUAGUGAUAAAGUAAAGCAUUUACAGGGCGUUUGCAUUUCAUACAAUAAAGCGACAACCAUAUGGCUCCUGCCAGUUGCCGAUAAAUUCAGUUACAAAACAUGAUCAUCUCAUACAAUAAAAUAUAGCAUCACGUCUUGACCAUAUCACAUCACAGCAUGCCCUGCAAAAACAAGUUAGACGUCCUCUACUUUGUUGUUGCAAAUUUUACGUGGCUGCUACGGGCUGAGCAAGAACCGUUCUUACCUACGCAUCAAAACCACAAUGAUAGUUCGUCAAGUUAGUGUUGUUUUAACCUUCGCAAGGAUCGAGCAUAGCCAUACUCGGUUCAACUAAAGUGAGAGAGACAGACACCCGCCAGUCACCUUUAAGCAACGAGUGCUCGUAACGGUAAAACCAGUCUUGCGUAAGCAUACGAGUAAUGUCGGUCCAGGCCGCUUCAUCUCACAAUACCGCUGAACCAAAGUAUGGCAUGCGGGUAAGCAGUAUGACUUGUAUCGCCCACAACUCACUUGUGUUCUACUCGUGCAUAUGACAUCUAUGCAUAAAACCUGGCUCUGAUACCACUGUUGGGGAAUGUAGUAAUUUCAAAAAAAUUCCUACGCACACGCAAGAUCAUGGUGAUGCAUAGCAAUGAGAGGGGAGAGUGUUGUCCACGUACCCUCGUAGACCGAAAGCGGAAGCAUUAGAACAACGCGGUUGAUGUAGUCGUACAUCUUCAUGGCCCGACCGAUCAAGCACCGAAACUACGGCACCUUCGAGUUCUAGCACAUGUUCAGCUCGAUGACGAUCCCCGGACUCCGAUCCAGUAGAGUGUCGGGGAAGAGUUCCGUCAGCACGACGGUGUGGUGACGAUCUUGAUGUUCUACCGUCGUAGGGCUUCGCCUAAGCACCGCUACAAUAUUAUCGAGGACUUUGGUGGAGGGGGCACCGCACACGGCUAAGAGAUCAAGAGAUAAAUUAUUGUGUCUAUGGGGUGCCCCCUCCCCCGUAUAUAAAGGAGUGGAGGAUAGGGGGCCGGCCAAGGGGGUGGCGCGCCCUAGGGGGGGGAGUCCAACCCGAACCGGGAGUAGGACUCCCCCCUUUCCUAUUAGGAGUAGGAGAGCGAAGGAAGAGGGGGAGGGAAGAAGGAAAGGGGGGACGGGCCCCCUCCCAAUUCGGAUUGGACUUGGGGGGGCGCCCCCUCCUUUGCUCCUUCUCCCUCCUUUCCACUGAGGCCCAAUAAGGCCCAUAUACCUCCCGGGGGGUUCCGAUAACCUCCCGGAGAUCCGGUAUUAUCCCAAUCUCACCCGGAACCUUUCCGGUGUCCAAAUAUAGUCGUCCAAUAUAUCGAUCUUUAUGUCUCGACUAUUUCGAGACUCCUCGUCAUGUCCGUGAUCACAUCCGGGACUCCGAACAACCUUCGGUACAUCAAAACUCAUAAACUCAUAAUAAAACUGUCAACGAAACUUUAAGCGUGCGGACCCUACGGGUUCGAGAACUAUGUAGACAUGACCUAGAACUGUUUCCGGUCAAUAACCAAUAGCGGAACCUGGAUGCUCAUAUUGGCUCCUACGUAUUCUACGAAGAUCUUUAUCGGUCAAACCGCACAACAACAUACAUUGUUCCCUUUGUCAUCGGUAUGUUACUUGCCUGAGAUCUGAUCGUCGGUAUCUCAAUACCUAGUUCAAUCUCGUUACUAGCAAGUCUCUUUACUCGUUACAUAAUGCCUCAUUCCGUAACUAACUCUUUAGCUACAUUGCUUGCAAGGCUUAUAGUGAUGUGCAUUACCGAGAGGGCCCAGAGAUACCUCUCCGACAAUCGGAGUGACAAAACCUAAUCUCAAAAUACGCCAACUCAACAUGUACCUUUGGAGACACCUGUGGAGCUCCUUUAUAAUCACUCAAUUACGUUGUGACGUUUGGUAGCACACAAAGUGUUCCUCCGGUAAACGGGACUUGCAUAAUCUCAUAGUUGUAGGAACUUGUAUAAGUCAUGAAGAAAGCAAUAGCAACAUACUAAACGAUCAAGUGCUAAGCUAACGGAAUGGGUCAAGUCAAUCACAUCAUUCUCCUAAUGAUGUGAUCCCGUUAAUCAAAUGACAACACAUGUCUAUGGUUAGGAAACAUAACCAUCUUUGAUUAAUGAGCUAGUCAAGUAGAGGCAUACUAGUGACGUUAAGUUUGUCUAUGUAUUCACACAUGUAUCAUGUUUCCGGUUAAUACAAUUCUAGCAUGAAUAAUAAACAUUUAUCAUGAUAUGAGGAAAUAAAUAAUAACUUUAUUAUUGCCUCUAGGGCAUAUUUUCUUCAGUGAGAUCCAUCAACACCUGGGCAGGCGAGCGCACAGGGCCUCCUGCCCCGGCUGCUGCUGACCCGAGGUUAUGGCUGCUGCUGUUGUGGAGUCUUGGAUAGGUUGUGUGCCGGCCAUGAAGAUCCCAACCCUGCUCGGUGGUUCGAAGCAAUCCGGAAUACUGCUGCCAUCAGAACAGCCCCCAAGCCCGCCAUCUUGCAGUUGAUAUAAUGAAUCUGUCUCACCUGUGGAUGACCCUCCAUCAGAGUAGAUGGUCGUCUCACCGCCAGAUGUAGAUCCUUCAGAGAGCCCUUCAUGGAUGCAUCCCACGAAGGCACACUUCACGGCAGGCGGAGCCCGGGCGGGUCUCGCACACUGAGCCGUCUCGAUGAGGUCGGUGCAGAUGUCCGGCUCAAGGCCCGGUUCAUCGAUCGUGCCGAUGAAGACGUGAAUUCCGCCGAAGGGGACCCGGUACCCGUACUCAAUUGAGACGGUGUCGGGACCCCAGCCUCCGUCAUCGAUGUAGAGCUUGCCGCGAUGACUCUUGGUCAUCCGGCCCACAGCGUAUCCCUUGAGCCCUUUGAAGCUCCCCUUCAAGAACUCAAAUUCACUGUGCACUGGCCCCAUGAUGGGCGCUAGCUGUCGUGGAAUUGUCACGGCAGAUGUCCUAGUAAAAGGACUUCGUCAUGGAGCCAUCGUAACUAGGAAGCUUGAAGGAGUUAAUCGGGACAAAGGACAUGAGGUUUAUACUGGUUCGGCCCCUUACGAUCAAGGUAAAAGCCUACGAUCCAGUUUUGAGUGGGAUUGCUUAUGUCUCGAUAACCAGGGGGCAAAUCGCUUGACCUAGAUCUCGAGUUGAUGUUACUGUUGGGGAACGUAGCAGAAAUUCAAAAUUUUCUAUGCAUCACCAAGAUCAAUCUAUGGAGAUUCUAGCAACAAGAGAGAGGGGAGUGUAUCUUCAUACCCUUGAAGAUCGCGAAGCGGAAGCGUUACAAGAACGCGGUCGGUGGAGUCGUUCACGAAGCGAUUCAGAUCGCGGCCGUAUCCGAUCUAAGCACCGAACAAUGGUGCCUCCACGUUCAACACAUGUCGGGGGUUGGGUGCGACAUAUGCCAAAGGAUGGCUUAUCAUGGUGGGAGCGAGUAGAACAUCGCCGGUGCCAGGAAACGGAAUUAGGCGAAGACAUGCACGCCGGCGGAUCUUACCCAGCUUCGGGGCUCUCUGAGGAGAUAACACCCCUACUGCUGCUCUGCGGGGUCUCCGCAUGAUCACUAAGGCAAAGUGAGUACAAGGUUACUCCUCGAGCUGUAUUCUGGAGGUAGGAGAAGGCAGGGCCAGCUCUCUCCUUCCUAUUUGCUAUGGCCUAGUGCUAAUGGAUUCGAACCCUUUGCAUGGGUGCCCCGGCAGGGUUAUAUAGGCCUACCCCCGGGGGGUACAAUGGUAAUCCGGCUGGGCGCGGGUCUAAGCCGUCUGUCUCACAGGCCGCCGUCUUCUCCGCCGACUGCUGGGGCCCGCCGACUGGCGGGCCCCGCCGACGGUCCCGAUACUGUAACCGUGCUUCUGAUGACGCAGGCUUGGUCAUGGGGUCGUGGCAAUAGUGCCACCGUCUAUUGAACGAUCACUGUCGCCAUUCCCCGUCUUGUCUGGUUAAUGGUGAGUGGGGCCCGUGGGAGGGGCCGGCCAACUCCAGGGGGCCGACUCCCAUGGAUCCGUCUUCGGGCGUACCCGCCAUCUUCUGUGCUCUCGCUGACGGGCGGGUCCUGCCGUCUCUGGGUCGUAUAGGUAGGCCGACGUGGGCACAGUGCGCCGCCCACUGAGGCUGAGGUCAAGGAAGGCAUGACAACAGUGCCGCGCCUCGAUGGAGAUCUCCAGCGAUAUGGCGCACUGUAGCCAUGCCAGCUCCUCGUAAGCAGGGGGUGACGGCCACGCUGUGACCGUACCCCGCCCCGCCUAUCGUGGCGAAGGUAGGUGACGGGUGGAGUCGCGGGCCAACUCUCUAUAGCCGGCUUCUCUGGAAGUCGCCGGCCAUGAGUCGGCAUAUCUUGGAGUCGCCGCCUGGGACUCGGCUUAUCUUGGAGUCGCCGCCCGGGACUCGGCUUAUCUUGGAGUCGCGCCUGGGACUCGGCUCUUCUUGGAGUUUCGCCUGGGACUCGGCUUGAGGGGCACAGCCUGCCCCGAUGUCUUGAAAGGCUCUGGGGCUCGGGUUAGCCUACCCGUGGCCCAUUACGCCGACAACACACGUACAGCCCGGGGACGUCUCCUCCUUCUUGAUCCAGCAAGGGGAGAGAAGAAGUUGAGGGAAAACUCCAACAGCACGACAGCAUGGUGGUGAUGGAGCUCGUGGUUCUCCGGCAGGGCUUCGCCAAGCACUACGGAGGAGGAGGAGGUGUUGGAGGAGGGAGAGGACUGCGCCAGGGGAAGGGUGCGGCUGCCCUCUCUCUCCCUCACUAUAUAUAGGGGGAAGGGAGGAGGGGCAGGCACCCUACGGUUCCCUAGGGGAGGGGCGGCGGCCACAGGGGAAACCCUAGAUGGGUUUGGGCGCCCCCACCCCCUAGGAAACUUGCCCCCCAAGCCGGGAGGGGCGGCUGCCCUAGGGGUGGCGCCCCCACCUCUCAUGGUUACGUGAGAUGGGGUGGGAGGGGCGCUCAGCCCCUUAGUGGGCUGACGUGCCCUCUCCCCUUGGCCCAUAAGGCCCCCCAACGCUUGCCGGGGCCUCCGAAACCCCUUUCGGACACGCUGGUCAUCACCUGGUAGCCCCGGAAUAAUUCCGGACUCCAAUACCCUUCGUCCAAUAUACCGAUCUUCACCUCCGGACCAUUCCGGAGCUCCUCGUCAUGUCUGGGCUCUCAUCCGGGACUCCGAACAACCUUCGGUAACCACAUACUAUUUCCCAUAACAACUCUAGCGUCACCGAACCUUAAGUGUGUAGACCCUACGGGUUCGGGAACCAUGCAGACAUGACUGAGACGUUCUCCGGUCAAUAACCAACAGCGGGAUCUGGAUACCCAUGUUUGCUCCCACAUGUUCCAUGAUGAUCUCAUCGGAUGAACCAUGAUGUCAAGGAUUCAAGCAAUCUCGUAUGCAAUUCCCUUUGUCAAUCGGUAUGUUACUUGCCCGAGAUUCGAUCGUCGGUAUCCCAAUACCACAUUCAAUCUCGUUACCGGAAAGUCACUUUACUCGUUCCAUAAUGCAUGAUCCCGUGACUAACUACUUAGUCACAUUGAGGUCAUUAUGAUGAUGCAUUACCGAGUGGGCCCAGAGAUACCUCUCCGUCAUACGGAGUGACAAAUCCCAGUCUCGAUUCGUGCCAACCCAACAGACACUUUCGGAGAUACCCGUAGUGCACCUUUAUAGCCACCCAGUUACGUUGUGACGUUCGGUACACCUAAAGCACUCCUACGGUAUCAGGGAGUUACACAAUCUCAUGGUCUAAGGAAAUGAUACUUGACAUUAGAAAAGCUUUAGCAAACGAACUACACGAUCUUGUGCUAUGCUUAGGAUUGGGUCUCGUCCAUCACAUCAUUCUCCUAAUGAUGUGAUCCCGUUAUCAAUGACAUCCAAUGUCCAUGGUCAAGAAACCAUGACCAUCUGUUGAUCAACGAGCUAGUCAACUAGAGGCUCACUAGGGACAUGUUGUGGUCUAUGUAUUCACACAUGUAUUACGGUUACCAGUUAAUACAAUUAUAGCAUGAACAAUAGACAAUUUUCAUGAACAAGGAAAUAUAAUAAUAACCAUUUUAUUAUUGCCUCUAGGGCAUAUUUCCAACAGUCUCCCACUUGCACUAGAGUCAAUAAUCUAGUUCACAUCAUUAUGUGAUUGAAUUGAAUCCAACACCCAUAGUGUUUGAUCAUAUAUCGCUUGUGAGAGAGGUUUAUUAGUCAAAGAGUCUGAAUCUUUCAGAUCCGUGUGUGCUUUACAAAUCUGUAUGUCAUCUCCUAAAUGCAGCUACCACGCGCUAUUUGGAACUAUUCCAAAUAACUGCUCUACUAUAUGAACCCAGUCUACUACUCAGAGUCAUCCAGAUUAGUGUCAAAGUUUGCAUUGGCGUAACCCUUUACGAUGAACUCUUUUACCACCUCCAUAAUCGAGAAAAUUCCUUAGUCCACUAGUUACUAAUGAUAACCUUGACCGUUGUCCUGUGAUCCAUUCCUAGAUCACACUUGUACCCCUUGAUUGACUCAUGGGAAGGCACACUUUAGGUGCGGUACACAUCAUAGCAUACUAUGGAGCCUGCAUCUAAAGCAUAGGGGACGACCUUCGUCCUUUCUCUCUCUCUUCUGAUGUGGUCAGGUCUUGAGUCUUACUCAAUACUCCACACCUUAUAACACAGCCAAGAACUCAUUCUUUGUCGAUCUAUUUUGAACUCCUUCAAAAUCUUGUCACGGUGUGUACUCAUUUGAAAGUACUAUCAAGCGAUUUUGAUCUAUCCUUAUAGAUCUUGAUGCUCAAUGUUCAAGUAGCUUAAUCCAGGUUUUCCAUUGAAAAAAACUUUUCAAAUAACCCUAUAUGCUUUCCAGAAAUUGUACAUCAUUUUCGGUCAACAAUAUGUCAACAACAUAUGCUCAUCAGAAAUGCUAUAGUGCUCCCACUCACUUCUUUGGAAAUACAAGUUUCUCAUAAACUUUGUAUAAACCCAAAAUCUUUGAUCAUCUCAUCAAAGCGUAUAUUCCAACUCUGAGAUGCUUACUCCAGUCCUUAGAAGGAUUGCUGGAGCUUUGCAUACUUGUUAGCAUCUUUUAGGAUUGUCAAAACCUUCUGGUUGUAUCAGAUACAACCUUUCCUCAAGAAAAUCGUUGAGGAAACUAAAUUUUGACAUCCUAUAUACAAGAUUUCAUAAAUAAUGCAGUAGCUACUAAUAUAAUUCUAACAGACUCUUAGCAUCGCUACGAGUGAGAAAGUAUCAUCGUAGUCAACUCCUUGAACUUGUCGGAAAACAUCUCAGCGACAAGUCGAGCUUUGUUAAUGGUGACACUUACCAUCAUUGUGUGUCUUCCCUUUUAAAAUCCAUCUGUAGCCAACAGCCUUAUGACCAUCAAGUAGUUCUUCCAAAGUCUACACUUUGUUUUAUACAUGGAUCUUCUCUCGGAUUUUAUGGCCUCGAGCCAUUUGUCGGAAUCCGGGCCCACCAUCGCUUCUCCAUAGCUUGUAGGUUCAUUGUUGUCUAUCAACAUGAACUCCAAGACAGCAUUAAUGUACCACUCUGAAGCAGUACGCGUCCUUGUCGUCCUACGAGGUUCGACAGUGACUUGAUCCGAGGCAUCAUGAUCACUAUCAUCAGCUUCCACUUCAAUUGGUGUAGGUGCCAUAGGAACAACUUCCUGUGCCCUGCUACACACUAGUUGUAGUGACGGUUCAAUAACCAUAUCAAGUCUCCACCAUCCUCCCACUCAAUUCUUUCGAGAGAAACUUUUCCUCGAGAAAGGACCUAUUACUAGAAACAAUCACUUUUGCUUCCGGAUCUGAAAUAGGAGGUAUACCCAACUGUUUUGGGUGUCCUAUGAAGAUGUAUUUAUCCUCUUUCGGUUCGAGCUUAUCAGGAUGAAACUCUUUUUUUUCACAUAAGCGUCGUAGCCCCAAACUUUCAAGAAAUGUCAGCUUAGGUUUCUCUAAACCAUAGUUCAUACGGUGUCAUCUCAACGGAAUUACAUGGUGCCCUAUUUAAAGUGAAUGUGGUUGUCUCUAAUGCCUAACCCAUGGACGAUAGUGGUAAUUCGAUAAGAGACAUCAUGGUAUGCCCCAUAUCCAUUAGGGUGCAUCUAUGAUGUUCGGACACACCAUCAUACUAUGGUGUUCCAGGCGGUGUUAGUUUUGAAACAAUUUCCACAAUGUCUCAAUUGUGUACCAAACUCGCAACUCAGAUAUUCAUCUCUAUGAUCAUAUCAUAGACAUUUUAUCCUCUUGUCACGACGAUCUUCAACUUCACUCUGAAAUUACUUGAACCAUUCAAUAAUUCAGACUUGUGUUUUAUCAAGUAAAUAAACUCAGUGUCUACUCAAAUCAUCUGUGAAGUAAGAACAUAACGAUAUCCACUGCGUGCCUCAGCACUCAUUGGACUGCACACAUCAAAAUGUAUUACUUCCAACAAGUUGCUUUCUUGUUCCAUUUUACUGAAAACGAGGCCUUCAGUCAUCUUGCCCAUGUGGUAUGAUUUGCAUGUCUCAAGUGAUUCAAAAUCAAGUGAGUCCAAACGGUCCAUCUGCAUGGAGUUUCUUCAUGCGUAUAUACCAAUAGACAUGGUUCACAUGUCUCAAUCUUUUCAAAAACGAGUGAGUCCAAAGAUCCAUCAACAUGGAGCUUCUUCAUGCGUUUUAUACCAAUAUGACUCAAAUGGCAGUGCCACAAGUAGGUGGCACUAUAUCAUUACUAUCUUAUAUCUUUUGGCAUGAACAUGUGUAUCACUACGAUCGAGAUUCAAUAAACCAUUCAUUUUAGGUGCAAGACCAUUGAAGGUAUUAUUCAAAUAAACAGAGUAACCAUUAUUCUCCUUAAAUGAAUAACCGUAUUGCGAUAAACAUAAUCCAAUCAUGUCUAUGCUCAAUGCAAACACCAAAUAACAAUUAUUUAGGUUUAACACCAAUCUCGAUGGUAGAGGGAGUAUGCGAUGCUUGAUCACAUCAACCUUAGAAACACUUCCAAACCAUAUCAUCAUCUCACCUUUAACUAGUCUCCGUUUAUUCCGUAGCCUUUUAUUUCGAGUUACUAACACUUAGAAACUAAACCGGUAUCUAUUACCAUGGUGCUACUAGGAGUACUAGUAAAGUACACAUCAAUAUAAUGUAUAUCCAAUAUACUUCUGUCGACCUUGCCAGUCUUCUCAUCUACCAAGUAUCUAGGGUAGUUCUGCUUUAGUGACUGUUCCCCUCAUUACAGAAGCACUUAGUCUCGGGUUUGGGUUCAACCUUGGGUUUCUUCACUAGAGCAGCAACUGAUUUGCCAUUUCAUGAAGUAUCCCUUCUUGCCCUUGCCCUUCUUGAAACUAGUGGUUUCACUAACCAUCAACAAUUGAUGCUCCUUCUUGAUUUCUACUUUCGCGGUGUCAAACAUUGCGAAUAUUUCAAGGAUCAUCAUAUCUAUCCCUGAUAGGUUAUAGUUCAUCACGAAGCUCUAGUAGCUUGGUGGCAAUCACUUUGGAGAAACAUCACUAUCUCAUCUGGAAGAUUAACUCCCACUCGAUUCAAGUGAUUUUUCUACCCAGACAAUCUGAGUACAAGCUCAACGAUUGAGCUUUUCUCAAUUAGUUUGUAGGCUAAGAAACUUGUCGGAGGUGUCAUACCUCUUGACGUGGGCACGAGCCUGAAAUCCCAAUUUCAGCCCUUGGAACAUCUCAUAUGUUCUGCGGUGUUUCAAAAACGUCUUCGGCGCCACAAUUCUAAACCGUUUAACAUUACUGAACUAUCAUGUAGUCAUCAAAACGUGUAUGUCAGAUGUUCACAACAUCCACAGACGAUGUUCGAGGUUCAGCACACCGAGCGGUGCAUUAAGGACAUAAGCCUUCUACGCAGCAAUGAGGACCAUCCUCAGUUUACGGACCCAGUCCGCAUAAUUGCUACUAUCAACUUUCAACUAAAUUUUCUCUAGGAACAUAUCUAAAACAGUAGAACUAAAACUCGAGCUACGACAUAGUUUGGAAAGACCUUUUGACUAUGUUGAUGAUAAUUAAGUUCAUCUAAUGAAAUUAUUUAAUGAACUCCCACUCAGAUAGACAUCCCUCUAGUCAUCUAAGUGAUACAUGAUCCGAGUCAACUAGGCCGUGUUCGAUCAUCACGUGAGACGGACUAGUCAUCAUCGGUGAACAUCUUCAUGUUGAUCGUAUCUACUAUACGAAUCAUGUUUGACCUUUCGGUCUCUUGUGUUCCGAGGCCAUGUCUGUACAUGCUAGGCUCGUCAAGUCAACCUAAGUGUUUUGAAUGUGUAAAUCUGGCUUACACCUGUUGUAUGUGAACGUUAGAAUCUAUCACACCCGAUCAUCACGUGAUGCUUCGAAACAACGAACUUUCGCAACGGUGCACAGUUAGGGGGAACACUUUCUUGAAAUUAUUAUGAGGGAUCAUCUUAUUUACUACCGUCGUUCUAAGCAAAUAAGAUGCAUAAACAUGAUAAACAUCACAUGCAAUCAAAUAGUGACAUGAUAUGGCCAAUAUCAUUUUGCUCCUUUUGAUCUCCAUCUUCGGGGCUCCAUGAUCAUCAUCGUCACCGGCAUGACACCAUGAUCUCCAUCAUCAUGAUCUCCAUCAUCGUGUCUCCAUGAAGUUGUCUCGCCAACUGAUUACCUCUACUACUAUAGCUAACGGUUUAGCAAUGAAGUAAAGUAAUCACAUGGCGUUAUUCAGUGACAUGCAGGUCAUACAAUAAUUAAAGACAACUCCUAUGGCUCAUGCCGGUUGUCAUACUCAUCGACAUGCAAGUCGGGAUUCCUAUUACAAGAAUAUGAUCAAUCUCAUACAUCACAUAUAUUUCAUUCAUCACAUCCUUCUUGCCCAUAUCACAUCACACGACACAUGCUGCAAAAACAAGUUACACGUCCUCUAAUUGUUGUUGCAAGUUUUUACGUGGCUGCUAUAGGUUUAUAGCAAGAACGUUUCUUACCUACGCCAAAACCACAACGUGAUAUGCCAAUUGCUAUUUACCCUUCAUAAUGACCCUUUUCAUCGAAUCCGAUCCGACUAAAGUGGGAGAGACUGGCACCCGCUAGCCACCUUAUGCAACAAGUGCAUGUCAGUCGGUGGAACCUGUCUCACGUAAGUCUACGUGUAAGGUCGGUCCGGGCCGCUUCAUCCCACAAUACUGUCGAAACAAGAUAUGACUAGUAACGGUAAGCAUAUUGAACAAAACCAAUGCCCACAACUACUUGUGUUCUACUCAUGCAUAGAAUCUACGCAAUAGACCUUCACUGUUGGGGAACGUAGCAGAAAUUCAAAAUUUUCUACGCAUCACCAAGAUCAAUCUAUGGAGAUUCUAGAAACAAGAGAGAGGGGAGUGUAUCUUCAUACCCUUGAAGAUCGCGAAGCAGAAGCGUUACAAGAAUGCGGUCGGUGGAAUUGUUCACGAAGCGAUUCAGAUCGCGGCCGUAUCCGAUCUAAGCACCGAACAAUGGUGCCUCCGUUCAACACACGUACAGCCCAGGGACGUCUCCUCCUUCUUGAUCCAGCAAGGGGAGAGGAGAAGUUGAGGGAAAACUCCGACAGCACGACGGCAUGAUGGUGAUGGAGCUCAUGGUUCUCCGGCAGGGCUUCGCCAAGCACUACGGAGGAGGUGGAGGUGUUGGAGGAGGGAGAGGGCUGCGCCAGGGGAAGGGUGCGGCUGCCCUCUCUCUCCCUCACUAUAUAUAGGGGGAAGGGAGGAGGGGGAGGCACCCUACAGUUCCCUAGGGGAGGGGCGGCGGCCACAGGGGAAACCCUAGAUGGGUUUGGGCGCCCCCACCCCCUAGGAAACUUGCCCCCCAAGCCGGGAGGGGCGGCUGCCCUAGGGAUGGCGCCCCCACCUCUCCUGGUUACGUGAGAUGGGGUGGGAGGGGCGCUCAGCCCCUUAGUGGGCUGAUGUGCCCUCUCGCCUUGGCCCAUAAGGCCCCCCAACGCUUGUCGGGGCCUCCGAAACCCCUUUCGGACACGCUGGUCAUCACCUGGUAGCCCCGGAAAAAUUCCGGACUCCAAUACCCUUCGUCCAAUAUACCGAUCUUCACCUCCGGACCAUUCCGGAGCUCCUCGUCAUGUCUGGGAUCUCAUCCGGGACUCCGAACAACCUUCGGUAACCACAUACUAUUUCCCAUAACAACUCUAGCGUCACCGAACCUUAAGUGUGUAGACCCUACGGGUUCGGGAACCAUGCAGACAUGACUGAGACGUUCUCCGGUCAAUAACCAACAGCGGGAUCUGGAUACCCAUGUUUGCUCCCACAUGUUCCAUGAUGAUCUCAUCGGAUGAACCACGAUGUCAAGGAUUCAAGCAAUCUCGUAUGCAAUUCCCUUUGUCAAUCGGUAUGUUACUUGCCCGAGAUUCGAUCGUCGGUAUCCCAAUACCACAUUCAAUCUCGUUACCGGAAAGUCACUUUACUCGUUCCAUAAUGCAUGAUCCCGUGACUAACUACUUAGUCACAUUGAGGUCAUUAUGAUGAUGCAUUACCGAGUGGGCCCAGAGCUACCUCUCCGUCAUACGGAGUGACAAAUCCCAGUCUCGAUUCGUGCCAACCCAACAGACACUUUCGGAGAUACCCGUAGUGCACCUUUAUAGCCACCCAGUUACGUUGUGACGUUCGGUACACCUAAAGCACUCCUACGGUAUCAGGGAGUUACACAAUCUCAUGGUCUAAGGAAAUGAUACUUGACAUUAGAAAAGCUUUAGCAAACGAACUACACGAUCUUGUGCUAUGCUUAGGAUUGGGUCUCGUCCAUCACAUCAUUCUCCUAAUGAUGUGAUCCCGUUAUCAAUGACAUCCAAUGUCCAUGGUCAGGAAACCAUGACCAUCUGUUGAUCAACGAGCUAGUCAACUAGAGGCUCACUAGGGACAUGUUGUGGUCUAUGUAUUCACACAUGUAUUACGGUUUCCAGUUAAUACAAUUAUAGCAUGAACAAUAGACAAUUAUCAUGAACAAGGAAAUAUAAUAAUAACCAUUUUAUUAUUGCCUCUAGGGCAUAUUUCCAACAGUUACUUGUCUUGAACCGCCGCCGGGUCGGCCCUUUAUAUACAGAGGUCGACGCCCAGCGGUUCUGCAGAGUCCUGGCCAGCUCAUAAACAGUGUCCGACUCGGUCUCUUAACUAUUCUUGCCUUACAAUACAAGUCACGCAUACAGGGUGGUUUAUCACUACAGGCCUUAAGUCGCCUCUGGGCCUUGGGCCCUUAACUAAACCGCCAUUUAUAUCCUGGGUCUUGUGCUUCAAGAAUAUUUGCAAGUAUGACCCGGCCCCUCCUGGGCGGGUCAUACCAAUAGUUAUAUCUCCAACAGAAGUCGUCAGCUAUCGAAACCAUCUCGAUCGAGAUCAUGCAACUAUACCAACCGAUAAGCACGCAAGGAAUUGCACCAACCAGCAUACUUGGGCAAUACAACUACAGUGCUGAUUAACCCUACCACGUAGGUUUUUAUCUGAACGUGGUCACGAUGAAGAGACGUUACCUCCGGCCAUCCUGAUCACGAUCACAUUUUCUAUGCAAAACGUACUAAUUCCACACAACGAGCCUGGAAUAGGAUCUUCCAUGAUCCAUCUCACAACUGUUGAAGCUUGGUGCUUUGCAAAUUGCUUGUUGGGUCGGACGUUCUUAGAGAAUCUAUAGCAGUUCCUGUAUAAAACUUACCCUAAAGUUGUUCUACGGGGUGUUCAUAUAAUUUUGGAGAAGUUAUCUAGUGAGGUCUCUUUUCACUUUGUGUAAACAUCUUUCCUAAAAAAAAUUUACAUUAAAAAGGGCACAUGUGGGGAGGUGCCCGAGCGAAGGGGCAUGUGCUAGGAGGCGGGCGGGAGGCCGGGGGCGAUUCAAGGGGGUGCCAGGCGGCGGGCGUGCGCCGCGGCCGAUUCAUCCGAGUGUCAAUGGGGAGGGGCCGGGCGGCAACGACGGGACGAGGUAGGUGUGGAUACGACCUUAGAGGCGCCCUGAAACUUCAGUAGUUGGCUCGGCCAAAGUUUAUACGCAGGGUUUUCUUCCCGUGGAUGGAGCGAAAGUUUUGAAAAUUAUCCGGGGCCUCGUAAUUAUUUUGUGUGUGUUAAAAAAAGGUUGCGGAUUUUUUUUGCCUAACUUCCUCUAAAUCAGAGUUAUUUUACGAACGCAGGAAUUGUUGGAGAUGCUUUUAGAAAUUCUUUGUAUACCGUUCGGCCAUCCAAUACGGCCAUUAUAUUUAUUUAUUUAUUGACUUGUAAAGUGAGUUUCUGCCGUUUUCAUUAAGAGAGAAAACAACAAAAUGCAAAAACGCCUUAUUACAUGGAAAACUACACAGAAGAACACAACAACAACAAAAGAAAAAGGAAAAGAAAAACAUCCAGCAACAACAACAUAAAAAGAUCAUUUCCACCUAACAAGAUCUCAUUCCGAAAUGAUCUUAAGCAAGAUCUUCGGAAAAGUCUUCAAGAAGGAAAGUGUCGUUCUCGUUGUCGUCGGCAGCAUCGACUACAAUCUUUCACCCAGACCCGCACAAUAUCGCUCCACCGAACCCUUGGAAUGACCUCAUCUACCCAAAAGCCACCAACGCCGGUCCCUACUCAGACCAGCCAUGACCAAGUGGUGAGGAAGAACUCUUCGACAAUGCAUCCAUGGAGAAAGGGCGCCCACGGUAGCUAAUAUUGACCUAUGUCGAAGAGUCGGACUUUCGCCCAGAGCCUUAUGUUUCGCCACCUCUACAAACUUCAGAGAGGAAGCCAAACCACAUCGAACCUACAAGACCGGGCCUCGACUCCACUGAUAUUCAACAACAGCGAAACCAGACAAAUUGGAUCAGAAGGACGUCGUGGCCGCCACAUCACCAUGAUGGACUGGCAGUGUGGACAAUGGCACCACCCCACCACCGCAACUAGGACGUCGUACAGCGCAACAACGCAACCGUUGCCAUUGUCAUGGAGCACGCAGGCACAAAUGCCCGUGCCACACCACAUCGCCCACCAUGCCACCAACACCGCACACCCUCGGGCCUUCGCACCGCCACCACCAUUGUGCCCACUACGCGACCACUACCACUAUGCCCACAGCACCACCACCAUCGCAUGUACAACCUCAGACAACAACCACUAAACCGACAUCAGAUCCGUGAAUCGUGUGGCCACCGCAUCACGCCUACCACCGCAUCAAGCUAGAGGACAUGGGCAGACCACUGUAGCCAAGCGCACCGCUAGCCACUCGGGACCAGACUCGGAAAAAAUGAUAGAUCAAGAUAUGAACCUGCACCUACACCGCAAACCAACCUGACAUGGUAGCGUCGCAGGUCCUGGAUACGACCUCCAUGUGACUAGUCAACCAUUGUAGAUAUGGGCAUUGGAUACCCCGAUCUAGCACGCCCAACCACCACGACCACAUAGCCACCCUGGACGACCUCCAUGUUCGAUCGCUGACCCCAACACCUGUAGGGACCAAGCCCGAGCUCCCUUGGGACAUUAGGAAGCAGGGCCAGCCACCACUAUGACUGAGGUUGAUGGUAAUGCCAACGAGAGAUGGUCGUGAAGGAGCUUCUUUCUGUGACAACUAGGUUUCUCCCCUAUGUCACCGGGGGGGGAGCGGUGUAGGGACUGACAAAUGGAAUAGUAUUAGAACAUCUCUACCAUAUCCCCCAAAAGUUACAUACGGGUUGGAAAUUUUGUUUUGGGGGUUAACACCCAUCUAACAAAUCCCCCAUUUGCUUUAGUUUCUCAAAAUAAUAGGUUUCCAUCCCCCAAAUUUUCUCUCUAGCCAUUAUUUAAUCUGAGAAGAGAACUUCUCAUUAAAAAUGAGGAGGUCGCUCCCUUUCCGCAUUCAGGGCGCGACAACCGACAUGUNNNNNNNNNNNNNNNNNNNNNNNNNNNNNNNNNNNNNNNNNNNNNNNNNNNNNNNNNNNNNNNNNNNNNNNNNNNNNNNNNNNNNNNNNNNNNNNNNNNNNNNNNNNNNNNNNNNNNNNNNNNNNNNNNNNNNNNNNNNNNNNNNNNNNNNNNNNNNNNNNNNNNNNNNNNNNNNNNNNNNNNNNNNNNNNNNNNNNNNNNNNNNNNNNNNNNNNNNNNNNNNNNNNNNNNNNNNNNNNNNNNNNNNNNNNNNNNNNNNNNNNNNCUCAUUCAUUGUUGUCGCCACCAUCCCCAAUUCAAGCUUCCACCGCCUCCAAUUCAGCCUAGGCACCGCCUUUCUGGAGCUCAAGGUCGCGGCUGCCAUUCGAGCACUAUUGCUUCCCCAAGAUCUAGUGUCCCCUAGGGCCUAUCAAAUGUCUUGCUCCCAUCGCCGCCACCCGAAGCCCAGGCGCCGCCUGCCAAAGCUCUGUCCGCGCAUCCCAAACACCGCUUUAACCCCGGAGCCACCUCCCCUGGUUUCAACGACGUCUUCCCCCUCGCUGAGCACCCAUGUCGUUGAACAUGUUGCAACCACCACCGCCGUCGAAGUACAAAGGCCUGAGGCUUCGACCGUGGGCAAAUUGGCGGCAAGAUCGAUAACACGAAUGCGGUGGCAUGGUUGUGGCUUUGCAUUUUCAACACCACGGAGGAGGCGACGCUCUCCUACAAUGCUAACACACCCCGCUUCUUUGGAACUUGCCCGAAUCUCAACUCCCCUAGCAGCGCCGCGGCCGCUAUCGUGUCGCCCACUGGGGUCACCUCCCGUGCCAAGGAGAAGGACCGUGCGACCGAGUGUGCCGAUGCCACCUUCAUGAUUACGCUCCUUGAGGACCUGUAGAUCGUCCUCGAUAACCCCACGUCUCUUGAGUUCAUGGAGAAUGUAUUCAUGAUCGAGUAUGUGCACCGCGAGAUCACUCGCCUCGAAGCUGAGGCCGAGCACAUGUUCGACAAGCUCGCUGGUAACGAGGAGGUGGAGGACGAGAUGUGGUGGAGUCGUCCCACCACCAACGACGAUGAUGGCGGCCCCUCUGGCAGGGGGAGGGUGAUCGCGACCUCCUCCGAGUCGGACUUCUCCGAGGCUGACGAGUAAAGCUCCUCUUUUAUAUAUCAAGUAUUUGUUUUUCUUUAGUUUAUGAUGAUGCUUUAGCUAGUUCAACAGGAAUGUGGUUUUAAAGUACUCCCUUCGUCUCAUAAGUGACUCAACUUUGUACUAAUAUUGUACUAAAGUUAGUGCAAAGUCGAGUCACUUAAUCUGGGACGGAGGGAGUAGUAGGUAAUGGAUUGUUUAAUCAUGUUGUAAUAUGGUACUGUUGUUUAGUUAUGCAAUGAAGCAAUUUAAAUAUAUGCAAAAUUUCAAGUUUGAAAUAUGGAAAAUUGAAGGACAAGGAAUGGGGCGGGAAAAUGAGUUUUGAGGAUCGGCCGGAGAUGCUCUUAGCCUAUUAGUAGCCCACGUCCUUCCUGUUGUGGGAUCAUGUUCGCUGUCAGCAUGCUGAUUCAUCAUGACAGAGGCAACGUCAUCACGUACACAUACACUUAAUUUUGUUGUUCAAUCACUAUCCAUCCCGAAUUGCAGCCAAUUAGUAUACCACCACACACGGGUCAAUCCCUCAGCCAGCCAGCACCAUUAACAACACGGCACACUGGCAAAGGAUAAGGUGCGAUCACCACCGUCGCACAUAACCUGUACUACUACGUACGGAUCAAAUUAAUAGAUUGAUGUUGUAUGCAUCAAUCGAUCGGGGCAGUAAGGGUACGAGGAAGACGCACAGGUACAGGUGUAGCAUCUUCCUUCCACCAAAUCCAUCCGAACCAACGACUACCGCACCCGCCAGCUCGUAAUGCAAUUUUUAAUGCUUAAAGAAGCCUUAUGUACUGCCUAACCUCUUUCUUAUCCUGUACUAGUACUUUGGAGAUUUCACUACGACAAAGUCCCGGGAGAAAUUUCGCCGCUUUCUGGUAUGUCGUAAGAGCUCGGAAAUAUCAUGGUAAUUAGGCUUUCAUUUCCUUUGUUUUACAAUUCCAACUAAUUCAACGCUAACUUUUUCGGUAAUAAUACUACUAUUAGAGCAUCUCUAGUAGACCCCUUAUAUCACGGACCCUUAUACUGCAUUUACAGUUCGCGAAAACGGGUUGUACGGGCUGGCACAUGUGAAUGAUUCUGUGACAGUUUUAGUUGUGAUGAACUAAAGAAGGGUGUCAUUUUCUUCAGAAGACAUGCUAGUUUCUUCCUAAGAAGGUAAUUUCCGUUGAAAACUUGCCAUCAUUUUAUAUCUUCUUAAAACUAAAACUGCCAUCAAAGAGGGUUCGCUUGCCGCCAUUUUCCUAAUGAACGUCAGCUGGCUAACAUUACCGUAAUUUUGUUAGAGUCGCCUCUCCGUCUCUCAUUUAGCCCUCCUGUCCUUAUCACCUUAUCUAAGCUAGCACGGUCUCUUGGACUCUUGGUCGACAUGGAUAACGCCCAUUCUAUGAUUCCAUCCAUGAUCGUUGCUCAUUAGAAAGAUUUUAAUCUGCCCGCGAAUCAAUUAUGCACGGCAGAACAUGGCCUAAUUCUCCAUCAUUUCUGCAGUACGACACGUACGGUACGUAGCGGUCGUCUUUCCACACAAGUGGUUUGAGUAGUCGCGGUAGCUCUGACGUGCCGGCAACAUGCAUGGAGAACCAUUUUGUUUCUAGAAAAGGAGGAAGACCCCCGGCCUCUGCAUCUGGAUGAUGCAUAUAGUCAUUUUAUUAAUUAUUAAUACACGACCUUACAAAGUCAUAUAACAGUAAGGCUAAAGCCACCGUCUAAGCAACAUCCGUCGCUAUUUCUAUCCAGUUGAUGAAGGGGUGCUGAUAGUCUGGGUCUAAUAUCAAACAAGCCUCGUAGCCGAACCUAACAUCUAAGACCUGAUGUCUCAACCAGGACGCCUGCCGGGUAUGAGCACCCACCAGUCCGGAUGCAUGGAGAACUGGGGAUGGUUCCGGCCCUUUGUCUCCCAUCGUGCGCACAAAAUGGCUAGAAAGUAAACAAACCCGAUCAAACUCAGCCUUGCUAAUUAAAUGUGAGUGUGAUACGGAUCAGAAAAGCUGACUGCAGGUGUGUGGUUGCACUUGCACACGGCCUGAUCUUUCUGAAGAAAAAUGGCAGGGACAGAAUGGCCAUUUUGAAUAUCCAGCUGGCCCCGCGAAAAAGAGAGAGCAUCCAGCUAGGUUUUUUCGUAUGGAAUCCAGCUAGGGAAUUAGUGUGUGCCUAACUGCAAUUUAUAUGUGGUUAGGGAUAAGAUAACCAAACAAGAAAGCAAAUAAAAAUGUGGAAUAUGCUGGUAGUUGCCUUCUGCGCAAGAUAAGCAAAUUAUAGUGACUAGUAAAAUGCCCGUGCGUUGCAACGGGUUACCAAAACUAUGACGUUCCAAUCAAGCAAUUGAGAACAUAUAAUGUAUAGCCCACCUUAUUAAUCCAAAAUCAAAUAAAAUUAAGCGCUAGUUACAGUUAUAGGAAUAUAACACAUUUAGUUGAUGGAUUAAAUGCGAGAAGCUUAGAAACCACAAUUUAUUCUAAAAAUCUUAGUUUAAAUUUAGCAAUUGAAACUUCCGUUAUUCAUCAUAGAGAUACAAACUGUGACUUUGUUUUUGUUUGGAAUUUUCACUUCAGACACAACAAUAUAGAAUACUACUUAUAUAUAUAUGCAUCUAUGAAAUUUUUGUAGAGUUUUGAGCACCAAAAAAAUUUAGAUUUAUGCUAAUCCUGAGAAGCUUAGAAGGAGUAGAGAAGAAAGAGAUAUUCCAACCAUUUUUUUAUUUUUAUUUUCUUUGAACCCCUCCUUUUGCCACUGACCAGUGGGUCCGUCAAUCCAGCACUCCAGCAGCGUCAGCUACUCCCUGCCCGGCUGUCUCUUCAUCUUUUCUCCUCAUCCACUCCUCACUCUUCCGGUCUUCCCCCCGGAUCCCCUUUCUUGUCAAACUCGCCGGGGACGCCGCCGCUUGCCGUUGCAACGCCAGCCAUUGGCACCGGCGGGAUCCGCCAGCCGUCGGUCCGGAUCGACGCUCACGCCUCCGGCUCCGACAUGCACGCCCGUUGAACGCCGUCGUGAACCACCUCGCUUCUCUGGUGCGCUCUUGCUCGUAGGUAGUUUCCUAGCUCGAUUGUAGCUCUUGCCGUCCCUUUAAUGGUGAUUCCUAGCGCCGGCGUGCAGGUACGUCUUGAACCAAGGUCGCCUUUCUCGGUUCCGUCGGCCGCUGUUGCGACGCCGCCGCGGUCAUCCUCCUCCCCGAGCAGCUCUAGGGGCCGUGACGGGCUCCGCGUCGUCGCGUCUCCUCUGGACCACGAACUCGAAGCCGUGGGUCCCUCCUACUUCUUCCUCGACCGCUGACCGCCAUUGACGCCGUCCGAAACUUGCUGCCGUCCGUCCUCUCGCCUCCCUGCUCCGUCCGACCCUGCCAGGAACAGCAAGGUGAGGAGCCAUCUCUUCCUGCUGCUGCUGCUGUCCGCUGUUGGCUUUCUUUGCCGCUUGCUGUUGUUGCGCUGCUGGAUGGUUGCUUUGCUGCUUGAUGCUGCCGGUUGUUUUGCUUGCCGCUGCUGCUUGCUUUUGUUGCUUGCUGCUGCUGGCCUUGAGCUACCGGUAAAUGAGAGAAAGAAAGGAAGUUUUACAUUUGUAGAGGGAUAUGGUCGUAUUUAGAUACACCUAGAAAUGGCCAUGUUUCACUACCGUUUAAUUUUGUUCGUCGUACUGUCAGACUAAGGCUAGUCUUUCCUGUGCAUAAAAGUUUCAGAAAAAUGCACAACCUGCUGAAAUUGGAAAAUCCAUAAAAAAAUCAUUCCAGUUUCUGUUUGGAGUAGUACUGAUAUGGAGUUGGCUGGUUUAAAUUGUACUGUAGCAACGGAAAAUAUGAACAUAGUCAAUAUUAUUACUUGGAUAGCUCAAGGGUGGAUGUUUCUAAUCCUGUACAUGGCACCUUGGACACAUUCUGCAAUGAAUUUUGAGGCCUGAAAUUGAUGUUUAAGAAAGUGUUAGAAUUUAAGGACACCUGCAUGCUAAAUCUAUCACAAAGCUACAGAAAAAAGUAGAUGAACAGAUUAUAUUCUUUUUGUUCAUAUAGAAGUAUCUACUGGCUUGAAAGACUCAUCCUGUAAUAGUAUAGAUAGUACAGAUACGAGGACUUCACUGAUGGCAAACUCAGCUCAAAUUUGGGUUGUUCAUAAAUCAUCAGAUACAUAGUUCCUUAUCCAUGUAUUUCUAACAAGAGAUUCUAUGCAACUGAAGUUUAAGUCAGUAUUUUUAUUGGUAUAUGAUAUUAGUUUUACCAUAUUAAAAAGCAUAUGCCUUAGAAAGAAAUAUGAAACCUUAGUAUUUUUGUUCUUCUUUACCAAGUCACUGUCCAAGCAUCUUCCUCCUGCAUAUGUUGGAAACUUCACGCUGACUCAUGUUAUUUCCAGCUUAAACAGGUGCAUCUUUGACCAAGUAUAGGACGGGCAAAUGUCGCGGAAGGAAUACUGAUGGUUUUUGAAGACUGACUAUGCUCCCUCGAGUACUGCGCAGCAACAAACUCAGGUCAGUGUGCAUUAAUAUCUACAAUAGUUAUGUGGUUGUAAUGCAGAACUGAACAUAUUUUACCUUGACAUGAUAUAAUUUGAUCCAGUGACUUCAUGUGCUAAGGACUUCUUUGUAGACUAUGUUCUUCGUGGUUAUUAAUAAGGGCUCAGAUCUUUUUCGCUUCUUUGAAUUCUUGCUUUCGUCCUUGCCCUUGCCCUUACCAUUGUCAUUGUCCUUGAUGGCGAGAAUCUUAAUGUUCCUCUUCGCGGUGGCUCUAGACAAAGCGACGUAAAGCUGACCGUGAGAGAAAAUCGGGUCCGGUAGGUAAACCCCGACAAUGGGGAUGGUUUGCCCUUGCGCCUUGUUGAUUGUCAUGGCAAAGCUGAGCCUAAUAGGGAACUGCUUCCUCUUGAACUUGAAAGGGAAUAUAUCGUCAUAGGAUGGGCAGAGAGGUAUCCGAGGAAGGAACACCCUCCUACCAGCAUGUUGUCCUAGCACGAUUUCUGCGUCGAUGGCGUUCCUUUGGAAACCCCGGACCACAAGCCUUGUGCCGUUACACAACCCAUUAGCUGGAUCAAUAUUUCUCAACAGUAUAACCGGGCAAUUUAUCUUUAGUUUGAGCGCAUGCGGAGGCAGGCCAUUGGGAGUCAGGUUGUUGAGGAACUCGGGGGCAUAGUAGCCAUGUGGAUCAUCCUCUGCACUAUCAAAACUGUGGUAGAUCUUCUCUUCGCCCUGGAAGCGCUCUAUCAUGCGCGUGUUUAUCUUAUCAACGUUGUCAUUCUUUGUGGAGAGGAUCGCUCGAGAUGUCAUGUAAUUUGGAUCGGCCAUGUUGUCAUCUAGAGCAGGAAAUACAUGGUCGAUUAGCUUCUCUAGGUCAACGCCAUCUCCUGUUGGCGGCACACAAAUAUCUUCGGGGAGCCUUAUGUUGCCUUCCUCGUCGGUUUCCUCGGUGCCAUUGCCUACCCUUAGCAAGUAAUCUGCGAACCACGGGUCGUUAUGCGCCCUCAUGUUAGUGACGAGCCUUAGCUGGCGCAUGCCCUUCCAAAGGUAUGAACUCCGCAGGGUUGAAUCGAUUAUCUGACCCCGUGACCCCUUCCUAACGACCGGAAGCACCUGCCUGAAGUCCCCACCGAACACGACAGUUUUUCCCCCGAAAGGUCGGUCCCGUCGUCCCAUGAUGUCCCGCAUGCUAUUGUCCAGUGCCUCAACCGCUUGCCGCCUCGUCAUCGUGGCCUCGUCCCAUAGGAUGAGUGAAGCCAUGCGCAGGAGCUUGGCUGUCCCACUUUGCUUGGUGAAGCUGCACGACGCCCCAUCUUCAAUGCUGAGUGGGAUCUUGAACCUCGAGUGGGCUGUCCUUCCUCCAGGCAUGAUGGAAGCUGCGACGCCAGAUGUCGCCGUAGCCACCGCGAUCUUGCCCUCGCCUCGAAUCUUUGCGAGUAGUGCCUUGUAUAGGAAGGUCUUCCCGGUGCCUCCCGGGCCAUCGACAAAGAAUACACCCCCAUCACCGGCAUCGACUGUUGCCAGUAUCUCGUCGUAUGCAAGUCUCUGCUCGGGGUUUAGCGAGGACACUAAAGCAGUGUCGUUCGCGUCAACCUCGAUUGUGGACUCCUCGGUGACUUCUCUAGCCUCACCUCCAGUAGUGUCACAGGUCUCGUCGAUGUCCGGAAGAGGGAACAAUGCUAUGUCUUUGCCCAUGGACUGUAGCAUGCCCCUGAUGUCAAGCAACACCAUCUGCUCCACUGCCUUUGAGCACAUGUGUGAUCGGCGGUAGUCAUCAGACAUCGCCUCUAGGUGCCUAUGCCAUAGACCGCGCACGUCACCUGGCUCGCAGAAUACCAAGAUUGUUGCAAAGAGCCUCCUGAGUGAGGCUGGCAUCGCGAACUCUGUUGACUCUGUAAGACACUCGUCAAGCGUGUUGUCGGCCUCAAUGAGGCCCAAUCUCUCGGCAGCCUCACGGAAGCUAUCACAUAGCACACCGUCCACGAUCCGCAGGUCCUCAAAAGAUGUCUUGCCUGGCACGUGGUUGAGCAGCACUCGUAGAAAGUACCGCUCCCCCUCGGCCGGAUGGGCUGACACGAUUCGACCAACUUGGUGCCGCUUUUCUCUCGGCCUCCAGUACUUCUGUCUCUGCCAUGUGAAACUUCCCGGGAAGUCCUUGUAAAGGAUAUCCCGAGCCCACUCGUGCUUCUGAUUAGCGAGGAAAUACUCCGUCAGCAUUGACUUAGAUGCAUUAUCACGGGCGACGACAUCGGUCAGGUCCUCUUGCGCUUUGAACGUGACACUAUGCAUAUUAGGGAGAUGAAGCGACAACUGUAGGACCGAUGGGGAACUCUCAGAAAGGUUGAAGCCGAAUAUCCUCCACAUCGCCUCCGGUGGAGUAACCCAUCUCGCAUCAAUGUACCUUUUAAUCUCAUCUACAACCCCGUUGCUGUCAGGCUGGUCGAUGCUGAUUGAAGCUCGAUCGUGGCCCUUGUAUACGUAUUUGUAAAGGUACUUGACGGCCUUGAUGCUGGAGCAUACCUCAACAUUAAUGUGACAGUUGAACAUCCGCAACAGAUAAGGGUUGUAAGGCACCACCCACCUGUUAUCUAGCAGAUGACGGUGGACCUUAGCACAACGGCCAUCAUCCCGUCGUCGAUAAACCGGGUAUGAAUCCUUACCUUGUAAGGUGUUCUGGUUGAACGGCCGUGGGUACUUGCACUUGCACUUCAAGUCUUGCAUGCACACAUUUUUGGGAUUUAGAUUACCGCAUGGGCCGUGCAUCAUAUGCUUCACGACCAUGGCAUAGAGCUCUGGAUACUUAUGCUUGUCCGGGAGCUCUGCAGAUAUGACGCGGUCAUACUGCUCUGGCACCACAAGUUUAUAAUUUGAAUUCAUGAUCAACAGGAAGUGCGCAUGGGGGAGGCCCCUCUUCUGAAACUCGACGACAUACACAUGCGCUACCACAACACCUAGGAUGUGCUUCUUGAACAACAUCUCUUUCAUGGUUUCCAGCUUGGCCCUGAACACGCGUGCGACAAGAUCUGGUCGGUCUUGGGGAGUCUGGCCUGGAAGUAGCUCAUUCAGUAUCUCCUCCCAGCUAGGGUUGCAUGUCAUAGUCAAAAAGAUGUCAGGCUUCCCAUACGUCUGCACCAAUGCCAUGGCGUCCAUAUGCCUCCGCUUCAUGUCUCGGUUGCACCCCUGAUGUGUCCCUGGGAGCACGAUCCUCUUGCCAACAGCGCUCGCUUGCAUCUCCCCAACUGCGAUGCUAUCCACAAGGCCUUGGUAUAGAUCGGCACGUAUCUGUGGCUAGUGGUCCCUGAUCCACUUCAGCCUACAACCCUCAAUCUUGAUGAACAUGUCGACGCCCCAUUGCUGGAACAAGCGUGCUCCGUGAAGUAUGGGGUUGAAUAUUGCAGGGCGUGUUUGUAGCCGGUAACAGUAGUAGUCCCUAACAGAGACACACAACCGACUGUUCCCCUCUAUGGAAAGAUGUGAAAGAAGAAGGUUAGGUACCAUAUGGGAAGGAUAGACAAUGUUAUUUUUCGCAUAUAAGCAUACUAAAUAGGCGAACCUGAAUCGUUAUCGCGGUUUCCUCUUGGUUGUUGUGCAAGUUCCCAAGGGACAUUGUGCUUAGGGAUAUUUGGAUGCCAACCAAGCUCCCCCCUUGGGAAAAAGAGGGGAUACGACAGCGGGUCAUAGCAACCUUCUGUAGCAUGUAUACUAUGCUUCUCGUUGUUGUCCCCAUAGAGUGUAAUGUUGCGGUUGAACCUGUUUGCUAGAUCGCUUCCCUCGACCCAAAUCGCAGCCACCUCAGAUGACACCGGUUUGUUAUAUCUCCGUUGGUCUAGCUUCUGGUCAAUGUUGAGGUCUAUCCGGUACUCCUCGAGGUUUUCCUUGUGGGCACCCAAACUCCUAAACUGCUGGGAGUAGGGGUUUUCCCUGAGGAUGUCCACUAACUUGCUGACAACACUCUGGUCCAAUUGCUUGGUGGCCUCCUUGCGAUGGCUUAAGUUUGGGUCGUCGUCAUAGAAGUACAACUGCAGAUGAUCAGGACGAGAUGUUGGACCGAACGAGUGCACCUUGUGGUACAUAGUGCCAUGUGCCCGAAACGUGUACACUCCCGACUUCAUGUUUGUGUAGUUGUUGUCUAGGUUGACACCAAGGGUAGUGAAGGAGAAGUGCCCGUUGAAGAACCGAAUGCUCUCCCGGAAAUGCCGAGAGUCUCCAUCCGCGCUAGACCAUAACCUCAUCAGCUCCGGGAUAGGCUCCGGUUCAGCCAGCUUAAUCUCCCCGUUCCGACAGCAGAAGCCGUCAGUCUCAUACUGGAACUUCUUGGCCUUGCAAUGGUCGCAGUUCGCCGCGUGCUUCAGGAUGUGCGUGCUGUCUGGGAUGUUCGAGUACACAUAGUCGAAAGGAUCAAGCUCGAUAGAUCCCGUGUUGGAGUCUACAGGCUCAUCGAUGUCAGUGUUAUCAGCGUCGGAUCCUGCAAGCAUUGUCGAGACAUAACAUGUCACGAUAGGAUGCAGAACAUAAAUCAAUAGUAUAGAGGGACGAGCACGAAAGGCGCCUGGGAGUACCUUGAUCGGCAAAUAGGUAGUACUCAUCAUCCAUGAGGUCACCGGAAAGUCCAUUGUCAUCCAUGAUGCCGCUAAGGAAGGUGUCCAUUUCAGCUGCAACAUUGUUGAGCUGGUAAGUAAUGGUUUAGUGUGAGUGGUCACUGGGAGGGGAGUAAAAGAUGAGAGGGUUACCAUCGGUCCCAAUGGUGUAAGACGGCAUGCUCGAUGGAGGGGACGAAGCCGGUGAAGCAGCUCCUAUGGGCGGUGUUUCUGAGCUUGUUGCUGCUCUGUUCACAUGUAAGGUACUUGGGUGUGGAGACCUCUGCUUAGCUGCAAAGCUUGCAUUACGACGCUCUAGCAACGCUGACCCCUCACCUUCUGCUAAGCUUUUCGUGUGCGCUCUUCGUUUUGCGGCACCCCCUUGAAUGUUCUUUACCACCAUACCUCGUUUGUGAGCUCGCUCGCGAGCCCUACGCCGUGCUCUGGUCUCCUGUUUCUGCUCAUGGGCUUGAUUCUGGUUGUCGUGUAUUCCCUGAUCAUUGGUUUGUUGCGAGGCAUUUAUGAGUUCGCCGGGAGCCUCAUUAUUGUCCAGGGUACGACUAAGGUACUCGCCUGCAUGGUUGAGGAGCUGGUAAAUACUGGUCCAACGCACAUGGACAUAACAAGUAGAGUAAAGAUGGGAGGAUUACCAUCUGAUUCGAAGCUGUAACCAGCCUUACUCGCUAACUGGGGGGAAGGAGUUGAAGCGGCGGGGUCUCUGGCAUGAGUGGUCGACAUCAGGUUGGGCGUAGCUAAAGUAGCUGCAUCUGGGCGCGGCAUUGCGAUGGAUUCAGCGCAAGGGAUGUUGCGCCUAGCCGCGAGUAUUGCGUUGCGUUGAGUUAGCAUCUUCUGUUUCUCCUUGGGUGGUAUGUUUUGCACACGUGCUCUUCGGCGGGCAUUUGUCUCUUGCUUCUCCUCGACCGGCAUAUUUUGGUAGGACGCCCUUCUGCAGCUAUUCCUCUCUUGCUUGUCCUCGACCAUCAUUUUUUGGUAGUCCGCCCUUCUAAGGGUGUUACUUUUUUGCUUCUCCUCUGGUGUCAUCCGUUGCCUGGCUUCUCUUUGACAUGCAUUCCUCUCCUCGUAUGUUUUCUUCUUCCUAGCUGCUCUGCGGUGUGCAUUGAUUUUCUCCUUCUCUUCAGGUGUUAAUCUAUCCCGCCGUGCUAUGUAUUGUUCUCGCCUUUUCUGUUUUUUAUCUGAUGUAAUGAUUGCAUUUGAAGCAAUGUGUUCAGGAUCAGUGUGUGAGGUGUUGAGUCGAACCGCUAUAUCUGAACCAAUAUUAUGCUGAAUGCCGCUCUGUGUUCCUUGAAGUGAUACACGUUGAUCAUAGUAAGUGGCUUCACGAGAGUGACUUCCUGAAGAACCAUUUUGUGGACCACUUAGGUUAACAAAUGUAUAAAUGCAAGCUGAAAUAUUUUCAUGUGUAAGGUCGAUACCGAUUGACGUUUGCACAUGUUGUACUGGCUGAAAGGCUGUUAGAUUGCCGGCUAUGGGAACCAUCAUAGCCACAUGUGUGCGCACAUUGUCAUCAUCAUCGGAAGANNNNNNNNNNNNNNNNNNNNNNNNNNNNNNNNNNNNNNNNNNNNNNNNNNNNNNNNNNNNNNNNNNNNNNNNNNNNNNNNNNNNNNNNNNNNNNNNNNNNCCCUCAUUCCCCUCUUUUGAUUACACAAUUCAGUAGAAACUCUUUUUUUGGUGUAUCUUACCAAACUGACCUAAUAAUUUCAAGCCAAGGACUGUACUGUGCACUCACAUAUGUACUAAAAAUUGUAGAUUCAGAAAAUGGGAACAAAAUACACUUGUGGUAUGAGAAUUUGAACCGAGAGUUAUGUAUAAAAAUUUCUUCCUUUUACUUGUGGUUACCAUUAGAGCCAUUGCUUCAUUGCCACAAGUGGAGGUAAUACAUGCCUCUCUAUGUCAAUCGGGAAAACGCAAAUGGUUAGGCUAGUCUGCAUGUUUAUAUACUUGAACCUAGCUUGUUGUAUUUUGAUUGUUUUUUCCACAAGCUGUGAGCUGCAAUGUUGAUCAUGUUAGUUGGCAGCCGUUUAGGAUGGAAGUAACAUAAUUUAUAUUACAUCAUAAAUUCCGGUCUGGUGCUGCAUUUCAGGUUCAACUUGAGGUGUAGGUNNNNNNNNNNNNNNNNNNNNNNNNNNNNNNNNNNNNNNNNNNNNNNNNNNNNNNNNNNNNNNNNNNNNNNNNNNNNNNNNNNNNNNNNNNNNNNNNNNNNNNNNNNNNNNNNNNNNNNNNNNNNNNNNNNNNNNNNNNNNNNNNNNNNNNNNNNNNNNNNNNNNNNNNNNNNNNNNNNNNNNNNNNNNNNNNNNNNNNNNNNNNNNNNNNNNNNNNNNNNNNNNNNNNNNNNNNNNNNNNNNNNNNNNNNNNNNNNNNNNNNNNNNNNNNNNNNNNNNNNNNNNNNNNNNNNNNNNNNNNNNNNNNACAUCUGAACUUGCCUAUUCAUCCUUGAUUAUGAAACAUAUUAAUUCCCAGAAUUUAAUGGGCGUAUUCUUCAUUGAAAUUUAUGAUUUUCAGGUAGCUGGUACAUAGCUUAAAAUCCUGCAUCGCUUAAGUAUCUUUGUAAUGUAGGUAAUUUGCUCAGACAUCAUGAAUGCAUGAAUGCAUUUUGUUUUUGUAGGAACCAGCUGAGGAUGGUAAACCUAGGGAACUGUGAAGAUGGUGGCAGGAGGAUGUACCUGCGGCGUCCGGAGAUGGGUGCAGCAACAGCCGGCCUGCGGAGGUGGCUGGUUCUGGCGGCCCUGUCGAGCAACACCAUGAGACGGGAGCAGAGGUGCUGGUUCCGGCGGCAGCAGAGGCUGCAGCAUGAGACGGGAGCAGAGGUUGCUGGUUCCGGCGGCAGCGGAGGCUGCAGCUCGCACAUCUGCUGUGAGAGCGAUGUGGCCGGACUGGUUCCGGCGGAUGUGGCCGGACGGCGACUAUACGUCCAGCGAGAGGAGGAACUGGCGUUUCUGGCGACGUGCGUUCAAGGCUCGAUAGAGCUCUCACACUUGUUUUUCUGUUUGGUUUGGCUCGAACGUUUUUUUCUUUGGUUUGGGCAUGUACGUCUUUUUUGGUCAAUGCAUGUAGUGGACGUGGUUCGUGGAUUGAGUCGCAACUGUUUCUCUUCGGCUGGUGCGUGAUCGUGGGCUGAGUUGGCGAUGGAUGUCGUUUAUGGGCCGUGUUAAUUAGCGACGGGAUGCGGUCGAGGGGUGGUGGGAUUGGUCGAACCAUCACGACGACUGCAGAUUGCGCUUUAAUAGUAGAGAUU
Molecule: long non-coding RNA, 55071 nt
Filed under: Triticum aestivum (bread wheat)
Lineage: Eukaryota; Viridiplantae; Streptophyta; Magnoliopsida; Poales; Poaceae
Description: long non-coding RNA (TAES_LNC012533)
Source: RNAcentral